AGCCCUUCCCACCCAAUUGCUUCUUUUAAGCUUUCCCUUCCAUUAUCCUCAUAUCUCUCUCAAUCCCUAAUACACCGUCGUCUUGAUUUUUCCAUCAAUGGCCAAGUACGGCGAAGGCGACAAGCGAUGGAUCGUGGAGGAAAGACCUGACGGUGCUAAUGUCCACAACUGGCACUGGGCUGAAACCGAUUGCCUCCCUUGGUCUAAAACGUUCUUCACCAAAUUGCUUUCCGAUCUCACCAUCCUUAAUUGCCAAGGUAAUCUCAGCAUCAAGACCAAGAAGGUCGAAAAGGUCGACGGCGAAGCCUAUGUUAAUGUUCGCAAAGGUAAAAUCUUCCCGGAUAUGAAAUCAGUUUGAGUUUAUCCUGGGAAGGCGAAGCCAAAGAUGAGGAAGGGAAGACGCUGUUGAAAGCUGAAGGUAAUCUAGAGAUUCCGUACAUUUCGGAUGAGAAUGCUGACGAGGAUCCGGAAGUUAAGGUGACGAUUAAAGACGAAGGACCCAUUGCUAAAGCCUUGAAGGAAGCGAUGCUGGCCAAAGGGAAGCCUUUGGUUUUGGAGAAAGUGAGUGAUUUUGUAAAAGCUAUGGCGAAAGGUGGCCCUGUUAAAGAUGAAUUGGAAGCCAAGAAAUCGGCUCCCAAAAAUACUACUACUACUUCUACUAGUAAUAGUAACUCAGCUGCGAUGUCUAAGGAGAAAGUUGGAGUGGAGAAGGAAGCCAAAAAGGAAGUGAAGAAGGAAGGGAAGAAAGGGUUUAAGACGAUUACAAUGUCGGAGAAAAUUAAUUGUAGAGCUAAGGAUAUGUACGAGAUUUUGAUGGAUGAGAAUAGAUGGAAAGGGUUUACUCAGAGUAAUGCUAGGAUAAGUAAAGAUGUCGGUGGCCAAUUUAGUAUUUUCGAUGGAUCGGUUACUGGAAUUAACUUGGAGUUGCAAGAAGGGAAGUUGAUUUCUCAGGGAUGGAGAUUUGGGAGUUGGUCCGACGGGAUUGAUUCUACAGUAAGUUUAAUGGAUUCCGCUUUUGCCUGUUCUCCAGGUUUUUGGGAAUGCAGUGUGGUCGGAUGAUGGCUUAUCUUUACUGGGUGGUUGUUAUUGUUGCAGGUAAGACUUGUUUUCAAUGAGCCUGAGCCUGGGGUUACUGUAAUCAAACUCACGCAUUCAGAUGUUCCCGAGGAGGACAGGUUGGUUUUUGUUUGUUUUAUUGCGUAGCAUGGCUAAUUUCUUACUUACUGGAUUUAGUUAUCGAUUCUGUGUUUGUUUUUGCUUUGAUUUGUGAUGCAGAUAUGGGAAUGCAACUGUGGUGGAGAACACUGAGAGAGGUUGGAGAGACCUUACUUUCAAUAAGAUACGGGCAGUAUUUGGUUUUGGAAUAUGAUUAAUUUUAUUCCAAAACGAGGAAUUCUUUUUUGGGUUUGAAUUAUUGGAACUUCAUGAAGAAUUGGAACUUCAUGAAGACUUAUUCUUUCAACUAUUUUAUUGUGAAAGAUUUAUAAGACUUUGCAACUCUGAUCUUGGUCUACUGGUUCAUGGUUUUAAAGUUGAAACUUGGACCGAGUGUCUCUGUUGUCUUGUUUGCCAAUACCCAAACUAUCCUUUUAGACUUAUAAUAAUGACAAUGAUGAAAAUGUUGCCUUCCAGCAACUUAAAGUCUGUCAGGGCGCAGAGUGUCUCCUUGAGGAUGUAUAUCCUUUGUGUACAUAUUAAUGUUAUGAUGUUACUUAAGGGCGAAAUUUGGUUUGGGUUGCUGGUUUAUUUUUCUGCCGCUUUAAUGUAUUGAUCUUGAUGAUACUGAAUAAAAGCUCAAAUUGAAUUGUUCUCUUUCUUCUGUUGGAAGCAUACAGACUUUUUUGGCAUUGGGUCUUAGAAUGAUCAAUCACUCACAGGCAAGGUGAAGUUUGUGGGUUGCUUCACUAGAGUGUCCAUGGUUUUACAAUAAAAUUAGGGAUCUCAUACAAUUUUCUCUGCAUAGUUUGUGAUUAUGUAUUUUGAAGCUAAAUGAUAAUCUAGUUAAUGUAGGUUUUGGAUUAUCCAUUGCUUUUGAAAAAUUUUUAAUGGUUUACAUCAUAUCUGGUGCUUGGACCAUGGUUAGCUUAGCUACCGAUUCUAUAGUUUGUUAUUCUUUGAGAGUAUAAGUGGAAACAUGAUUUUGUUUCUGUUACCAGAGUGGGCACAAUAAUCUAGCAUCUUGACAUACGGCUGUUUAUGUGUUUAGUUGUUCAAAAUGAAGCGCUAGUAGUGUUGGCCCUGGGAAGAGCAGGAAUCAUCUUUGGUCCACUUAAUUCAGAGUGUGCAUAGGUACAACGAAAAUCAUGAGGUUAGAAAAGGAAAUAAUCAAAUUGUCGUUCCUCAAUUGAUAGCAUAUGGCUAACUGUUGUUGUUUAGUUAUAUGUAUGCAUCUCAUUGCAAAUGUCUUUGUAGUAAAAGAGUUAAAGAGAGCUUCAUAUACAGGGAUUAAGAUGUGUUUUUAGUACUGUAAGGCGCAUGUCUCCAACUAGAUACUUCGAUUAGUCGUAGUGGAGAACGUUCCAAGAUGUAAUUUGUGAAGAUAGAUAAAUCAUUUAGUACCACGGUUAGUAGCAGAUGUGCUGUUACAUGUGUUUUAUGUGUACAUAACAGCUCCAAAUCCAAUGUCUUUUAGGUAGCAUGUAAGGAUUCUUAGGUUGGAUAUGAUUAAAGUUCAUUUUGCAUUCAGAAACUUCAAUUCAUUCCCUAAGGCCUUUUAGCUUUAUCAAGAACCGUAUACUUUUGUAUUCUCUUACGUAUUUCUGCAUAGCAGAGGGUCCAAGUUCUUUAUGUACAGGCAUGGUGAAAUCUUUCACCUAGAAAAAUUUUGCCACAGAUGUUUAGCAGGGAGCCCCAGCUUGGACACAAUAUGAGAUUGAGUUCAUCUGCCCUGUUAGAGCUAUAGGUGUACUAACAUAUAUCUUUAUGGGUAAUAAUGAUGGGAAUUUUUAACUCUAGAAGUAAAGUUAAAAUUUUGUCUCAUGUUCUAUUUAUUUAGUUAUUAACUUUUAAAUACAAUUUAAAAUCUAUGGUAAAAUCUCAAUCUCGUAGAAAAUUAUUAAUGUCAGUACUAAAUAAUUAUCUUUGUUUCCCCAUACGAUUCUUUGUUCUUUCCAUUUGAACCUUCCAAGGUAUUUCUUGUUGUAAUGUGGUGUGUUCUUGGGGUCCGCAAUUUUCAUGGCUUGGACCUACUGGACCUUGGUUCUAUGAAAAUUGAAAUUGUGGCUGAUGAGAUUCUCUGGUGUGAUGCAAGUUAAUGACUAGGUUGACUUAAAUUAAAAUUUAACCAUCUCUUUUUAGGGUUGAGUUCAUUGAGUUUGAUCGGAUUGUUAAGUUUCCUUGAUAAUUUGUUUUGCUUUGGUUAUAUUAAUUUUGGGUUUAUUUUGAUCAAAUGAGUUGUUUCACAGUUUUUUAUUAAAUAUUUUUAAAAAUAAAUGAAAUUUUCAAGUAAAUAAAAAAUAUCGGUAAACUAGUUUAGGUUGGUUUUAAGAUUUCUUUGAAACUAUGGAACUUGCUUGCUUUGUUCCAUGUUUAUCAAUAUAUAUUUGAGGUGGCAAGUAUAUAUUUAUGUUUUGGAUUUUGCAGAUCUUGCAAUGUUUUAGGAAUUGGAUUGGUUGAACUGUCUAAUAGUUGGUUUUUUGUUUAAUCGAGCCUUAAAAAAAUUUAUAAAUCGGUUUGAUUGAUUUAAUUGUCUGAGCACAGAAACGAUUUGGUCUAAAUUGGUUUUAUGGGACGGACUGCUAAUUUUAUGGUCAAUUGGUUUGGUUCUGAUAUCGUCUUUUCCCCCGUAAGUCUUCUUUACAAAUGUAAUAGCACAUGAUACGUUUAUAUUGGGUUUUCACUUUCAUGUUAGAUUUUUAUAUUACUAAUAGAACGGGCGAGAGUUAUUCUUGGAGAAUGCUUUUUGUUUUUGAAAAAGUAUUUAGAUUUUUAAUUUACUUUAUUGCCUUUGCUUUGUCAAGGUUACAUGGUACAUGGUAAUGCUUUCAAAUUUUUUGUGUGCAGUUAGAAUUAUGGCAAUUAUUAUAUUAUGAUUGUGGAGAAUCUUAAAUUCUAAAUUCAAUACUUAUUGAUAUUCAGUUGUGUACUAAAUUUUAAAGAAAAUAAAACAUAAUUUAUAUAAAUUUUAACGGAAAUAUAGAUCGAAGUCCACACUGAACUUCAAUUAAAAUUAUAGCAGAACCUUUAUUUUUAAAAUUAUAAAUAGUUAAUUAAACUUGUUACUUUGACAAUAAACUAAAACAAACGGUGGUUUACUUUCUACCUAACAUUAUAUAAUUAAGUACCUCCAAUUUAUUAAGAUCUAAAGGACAAGCUGAUUGGAAUGCUAAUGAUAUUGGAGCAUUUUCUUGUCACUUGACCUAGCGACAAUAUAUAUAAUUUUGCUUACAAAGAGGAUAAUUAUUCAAAUCACGAAUGUUGAGUUUUAACAUGAAAGCUAUAUCUAGAGAGUUCCAUUUAUUUCCUCCCAAAAGGCAAAACAAUAAUAUCACUGGCAAAGGUAAUGUUGUUGAUGGGGCAUUUUAUGGAUGAGUGUCUUGUAACGAAAAGUUUUGAGUACAAUCUCGAGUAAACCUUUUACAAAGCUUUCAGAAUAGGUAUCAACAUUUCGGUUGAUUUCAAAAAGCAUCAGGUGAAGUUAAACUUGUUGGAGAGGCGAUUUGAGUAUCCCCUAGAGAAUCUAACAUUCGUUGAUAUUGAUUGUUAUGCAUGCACGUAUAUUUUUUGCUUGAUCAGAGGUAUGUUGAUGUUAAAAAAAUUUUGCAACUUAGUUUAUACAAUUUACCUUAUGUUUUAAUCAAAUUUCUCAACAACUAGUACAUAUAGUUGGGGAUUUUCCAUUUUGGCUUCCAUAUGUAGGGCGUUGUGCAAGGGAAGUAGAGUGGAGAAAGGGAACAUGAAUGGUUGCUAUGUGAUUUUAUAGUAGUGGGGUUGGUAUCUAUCGCGUGUGAAUAUGAUAUGCAAAUUGUGCAAGUAUACACGUCGGAUCAAGUAAUAAAGUGAUAAGUGAGUAUCGUUCCCACAAGGAUUGAAUUGAGGCACUAAAGUGGUCAAGUUAUUAUAAUAAAAUGCGAUUAAUGUUAUGGUAAAGCUAUGGUAAGUAUGCAGUGGCAAUUAAAAGGAAUAAUGAUGUAUGCAAUAUGUGAAAUUAAUGAAUACUUGGAAAUGCUAUGGCAAAACGAGAGUAGGAAUGUAAUGGUAAUUAUGAAAAUGAUUAUAUGAAUAAUAUGUAACUGAACAAAUUAACGACUAAGGAUGCUAUGGAAAAGAUUCUACGGCAAGGGAUAAAGGAUAUACGAUGUUGAUAUGAAAGGUCGGGAUUACUAAGAAUCUACUCUUACUGUCAGAAAUGCCUCAACAAAAUCAUACUUAACCUACUACUCAAAAAAGUUCUAAAGUGCCCUGCUUUUUUCGAAGGCAGAAACCUUAAGUUACCUUACCUGUGUCUAUAGGCCUUUAAUAUGGUACCUUGCAUUGUUUCCUUCUGUAUGAAUGCUGCUCUAUGUCUAGAGUCUACUGUAAGUAUCUGUCGAGUACUUGCUCAUAUCAUUCAACCACGGUCUAACUAAUCUAAUCUUUUCAGAAUUUAGAUUAAUUUAAGGGUAUGCUGCAUAGUCAAUUAUGUCUAGGGAUUACUCACAUACAUUUUAAAGAAUAGAAAAAUUGAAUGAAACAUUAAAAUAAUUCAGAUUCAUACUGCAUCCAUUAAAAACAGUUGAAGUUUCAUCAAAGUAACCCUAACCCUAUGAGAUUUAGCUCAUAGGUUGGCAAAUAAAAUUCAAAUCAAACAUAGUUUUCAUCACUAUAAUUCAUGAAGGAAUAGAUUAGAAAUAAUGGAAGAACGUCAGGAAGACAGUGUUCAUUUGCCCAAUCUGCACUUCAGCUGCGUAGUGUCCUGAGGUGGUUGAGAGGGGUUGCCUGCGUCUUUCCUCUUCAUGUCUCUAUUCAACCACUACAUUCUAAUUUGCUUAAGGAUAUCUACCCACAGUUUCACACCCUAGGGUUUCCUCAUUUGCUUCUUUUUAAAUUGCUUUCUUUUUUCCUUUUCAGGAUAAUUCCAAUAGCCCUAAGAUUUAUCUUCUCCUUUUUUCUAGGCAAAUUUAUCUGUUACAAGUAGAGUUGGGUUGAAACUGAUAUGCGCUGAAUGUUGAUUGGACACCUUCCCAGCAUUGCCACGGCAUACGAGCUAGCAAUCUGACCACUUUUUUUCCCCGACAAAACUUCACUCCUUUAUUUCUCCUGCCAAUACCAUAAAACACUGUUGAAACGCUGACACCCCUACAGCGCAGUGGAAAAAUAAAACACCCGGCGAUCCUAACCAUGGAUUCAUGUGUGAGGAACGAAUCGGGGUGAAAAAGGGUUUGAAAAUUACCAAAUGGUGAUUCUGAGUAGACAGCGACGCCUUGGCAAUGAGUAAUCUGAUCUACUAUUGAACCAAGCUGCAAUCUUUGAUGACUCCGACCUCUACAUAGUCCACCCAGCUGACUAUGAACGGAAGGAAUCCCUAAACAGUUUUGGAGAAGACUUUACUUUGACGGCUGCUAGACUCACCAAGCAAAGAAAAACGAGAUUUUGUAUCUUAUUAUUUUUUACGGUUUCUCAAAAUUAAAUAAAUAUAAUAAUGUUUAAAAAACUAAAAAUUAUAAUUACAUUAAUUAUAAUAAAGAUUUCGGUAAACUAUAUUUAUUUAUAUACGAACCAAAAUCAUAUUCUCAUUAUGUGUACAGCAACCUUGUACAUAUAAUGUGUUCGAUAUUUAAUUACCCAAUUAAAUUAAUUCUAUAAUUAAUUUAAUUCAUGCGACAACCAAACACAAUACCAAUUAUGUUUUAUUCCGUUCAUUUCAACUAUAGGGUGUGACCCUGUAGGUUCUUGUAACGUUAGCAGUAAUGUUAGAACGAUUCCAAUGUUACAAACAAUGAGUGGCACCUAGCAAUGUAUCAUUGCUACCUAAGUCACAAGAAAUCAUGAUUCGACAUAACCUUUUUAUGAUUAAUCUUUUAAUGCACUAAUCCUUAAGUCCUUUAUCUCUGGAUUGAACACAAGUCAUGGAAUAAUCACACUUGUAUAGUCCAUUCCAUGUUCCUUGAUAUCUUAAGUAGACUAUGAUAUACAAAUAAGUAUGACAUCUCAUAUCAGCUUAUUUGAGCAUGGUCAUGCAUUUCUAGUCUCACUCAAUCAAGUGGCCUAAGAUAUUACUCCCAUUAUGUAAGAGGGACUUAUCCUAUAUCGUUCAACCAUAUCCCUCUACAUAGACUGUGGUAUAUCCAACAUCAGCCUUUAUAGAACAACCAGUUACGGUGUACGUUUGACUGUAUCAAAAUAUACAACUCAUGAUGUUGGGAUUAUGAUGAUCUCAAGUUUGAGGAUCAUAUACAUAUUAAUCACUAUGAGUAAUGUCAUGACAAUUACAUAAUAAUCCAAGAAACAUACUCAUAACGGGUUAGUCCAAUAUGUUGUUCUCUAACACACAUAUUCAUGCAUCGAUUCUGACACUCCAUAUCAAUGACAACUCUUUAUCAUCAAUCAACUACAUGUUAGUCUUAAUGCAUUAUCGUUGUCCUAUCCAACAAUAAUACUUGACUAAGGACCUUUUAAGAAUAAUCAUAUUAUUCUCAAGACAUUAUUAUAAAAUAGUUUAUUUAUACACACAGAAAAGAAACCGAAAUAAUAAUGGUAACGCAUUAUAUUAAUAAACAUGAUAAAUCAAGUAUGUUAUUACAACCAUCUCAUGAUUGAUCUUUGGGCAUACUCUAACAAACACAACCCUUCCACGAGCAAUUAAAAACACCUAAUAUUUAAACGCAACCCAAGUUCUAAUGCAAUGCUAAAAAUACUAAUGAAAUGUCCUAAAAUGCAACUAGAUGUACUUAAGUACAGGCAAUUAACUAGGUCCAAAGGCAUAAAAUACGACUCUUUUUAAGAGUUAUCAGUAUCGACUUUCUUUUAUUGUGCUACCUUUUUUAAACCUCAAUUUUCUUUUAACCAUAAAUCCAUUGUUUUUUAAAUGUUUUAUAUCUAUACUAAAAUUUUGUAAUUUAUUAGUUGGUUCAAACACUAUGAAUAUAAAACAUGCAAGAAGGACAAUUUGGUAUUAAUAGAAGAAGCAAUUGAUGGGUUGUGUUCUUUGUGGCCAAAUUCAUUUAGUUUAAUUAAUAUCACCUUAUAAUAAAAUUUAAUGUUUCUUUAUAUUUAAAAUUUAUAUGGACAUUGUACCAAGCUAAAGAAAUUGCAACCUUACUAUCAUUGGAGGCACGUGCGUACAACCAUACUUUUACCAUUUGCACGUCACUUAUUACUUUUUCUUGCACAGAGUGGCAUCAACCAGAUCAGAUAUUAUAACUAUUUGGGAUGGUUCAAGGACUUCUGGUAGAUGUAGAAAACAUGGAUGACUAUCAUCCUAUAGAUUUGUGUUUGAGGUUGGAGUGCCACUAUGCCAUUUGAUUCGUACAACAUGUGGCACAUUGGACCGAUUGUCUCCAACAUUAGCCACAAGUUACAUUUAUUGAUACGAGAAUUUUACAAAUUUUAAGAUAUAUAUAUGGAAUGAUUUAAGGCCAAUGGUAAACCAUACAUGUAUUUCUUAGGAGAGACUUUAUUAUCUCGAAAUGAUCAUCCAUUUUUCAAACAUUAAAGGAGGGAUAUGUAAGCACAAGCCCAACAUGUUGUUAUAGGCCAAGUUAGAGGAGGGAGUGUAACACCCCUUACCCGUAUUCCUUACCGGAACAGAGUAUGAGGUAUUACUAAAUUUUUAAAAAUUUUCGACAGCAUUCCUACUUAUUUUUGCUUAAACCUCCUGCAAAUUUAGAACACAUUCCAAUAUACCAACCAAUUUCAUUUGUAUAAACACACAUAUAGUUUAACUAUUAAUAAACACUACAUUUAAAAGGGAACCAUAACAUAUAUUUACAUGAUGAUCCCACAUUACAUAAAGUGUCUAUACAUGCCAUAAAAUUUCGGAACACUAGUAGUAAAAUACCCCAAAUGUGAAGGAUAGUGUAGAUGAUUGUCUGACUUCGUUCCAAUUUCCGAGUUGUUGGAAGUCACUAUAACCAAGAGAAAAAUAAAAUCGAGUAAGAAUAUAGCUUAGUAAGUAAACACAUGAUAAAUAAGUAAUUACUCCCAUAACUACACCAAAAUAUAAACUUAUUCAUGAAUAACUUUAUUGUUUAAGCAAUUUCCAGCAAGCUGUUUUUCUGCGUCAUAGUCGCUAAUUUAUUUUUAUCUGGAGCUACAGGGCUCCAAAUUGAGUUCCGUAAAUUUUCCCUGAAACUAGACUCAUAUACCAUUUCACCAUAAAAAUUUCAGAAUUUUUAACCCAGCAAAUUAGUACAGUUUAUUCAUUAAACCUUCCCCUGUUUCACUGCCCAACGGUUCUGACCCUUCCUCACUAAAAUUUACUUAACUCUCUGUACAAAAUUUGAAAAAUGGGUUUUCUUGUUUCUAAUAAAAAUAGACUCAAUAAGGAUUCCAGGGAUAUAAAUUUUAUGCCAUAAUUAUAUUUUUUUCAAUUUUUGGUAAUUUUCCAAAGUUAGAACAGGGGAUCUCGAAAUCAAUCCAGCCCUGUUUUAGUAAAAUUCAGAUAUCUCCAAAAAUACAACUCUUUUGCUUAUUCUAUUUCUUUCAUAUGAAAACAGACACAUCCAGCUUCAAUUUCAUAUAUUAUUCAGCUUCCCAUUCAUUUUCCACCAUUUAUGGUGAUUUUUCAAAGUUACCCAACUGCUGUUGUUCAACACAGUUUAUAAUUAAAUCGUUCCUUUUGCGUUUUUGAUAUUUUCUCCCAUCUCAUACAUGGGUCGAUUUAGUAUUCAACUCAAUAUUUACCCCAUAAAAUUUUCCACCAUAUGGAAAUAUUCAUCUUCCACACUUUUUCGUUGAACACUUGGAAUGUUAACCGUUAUUGGUGGAUCUCGCACUUAGCACCACCGCUGAAUCGGGGAAUCAGCACUUAGCAACCCCUCGGGGGAAUCAGCACAUAGCAACCCCCUUUCACAUUUCAAAGAUAUGGUGGAUAUCGCACUUAGCACCACCAAUGAACCGGGGAAUCAGCACUUAGCAACCCCUCGGGGGAAUCAGCACAUAGCAACCCCCUUUUCACAUUUCAAAGAUAUGGUGGAUCACGCACAUAGCACCACCAAUGAAUCGGGGAAUCAGCACUUAGCAACCCCUCGGGGGAAUCAGCACAUAGCAACCCCUUUUUUACAUUUCAAAGAUAUGGUGGAUCACGCACAUAGCACCACCAAUGAAUCGGGGAAUCAGCACACAGCAACCCCUUUAUAUACAACAUACUCCGGCUUAUUCCGAGUGUUCAACCCAUAAACCAUAUAUUGCAACCCUUUACCACCUUUCCCGAUUUAACAACAUUUUUAGGAUAUUGCCAAACAUUUAUUUUAAUUCCAAAUAAAUCUCAACAUAUAUCAAAUAAUAUCAAAAUAAUACAUUAAGUCACGUGUUUACUUACCUCGGUGCAAAAUAUCGUAAUUUUGCACUUUACUCCACUAUCUUUUCUUUUCCUCGUUUGAUAUACUCUUCACGUCUUUCUUGAUCUAUAAUAGCAAAUUUAACUCGUUUAAAGUCCACAUUUAUUAAAAUAAUCCACCACCCAACUUUUUGAAAAUUACAAUUUUGCCCCCAAACUUUUGCAUAAUUACACUUUUGUCCCCAAGCUUGGAAAUUAAACUUCAUCACUUAUUCUUAAGUUUUAUAACAUGCUGAACAUUUUUCCCUUCUAUGGAAACAUCAAAUUCCCACUCCAACACAUACUUUUGAAUAUUAAUUAUUUUUACCGAUUAUGUCUAUUUACCCGUUUUCGCUUAAAAUUGCUUAGCAAAAGUUGUUUAACAUAAUCUCUAGCUUCAUAUUCCACCAUAAAACAGCAAAAUAAACACAUUUCACCUAUGGAUAUUUUUCCAAAUAUGAACCCUAACAUGAAUUAAUGGUAGAAUAAGCUAAACCAAGUUACCGGGCUCCAAAAAUACGAAGAACAUUAAAAACGGGGCUUAGAAUCACUUACUAUGGAGCUUGAAAGCUUAAAAACCCUAAAUAUGGCUUCCCCCUUGCUGAUUUCAUUCACCAUGAAGAAGAUGAGCAUAUUUUGCCAUCUUUUUCCCAUUUAAUUCUAUUUAAUAACCAAAUGACUAAAAUGCCCCCAUUUAAAAAAAAUCUAUUUCACCCAUUUCUUAUGUCUAUUUUUGUCCAUCAACUAACUAAUGGUCUAAUUACCACAUAAAUACCUCCAAUUUAAAAUUUCAUAACAAUUAGACACCUCUAAGAUGUAGAACUCAACUUUUGCACUAUUUACAAUUUAGUCCUUUUGACUAAAUUGAGUGCCCAAACGUCGAAAUUUUCGAACGAAAUUUUUACGAAAAUUUUCCGUGAAAUUGUAGAUCAUAAAAAUAUAAUAAUAACCAUAUUUUCCCUCGUCGGAUUUGUGGUCCCGAAACCACUAUUCCGACUAGGCCCAGAAUCGGGCUGUUACAACUCUCCCCCCUUAGGGAUUUUCGUCCCCGAAAAUCUUACCGGAAAAGAGGUUUGGGUACUGUUUCCUCAUAAUUUCCUCCGGUUCCCACGUAGCCUCUUCCAUUCCAUGUUUUUGCCACAACACUUUCACUAAGGCUACACUUUUAUUUCUUAACUGUUUGACCUCCCGAGCCAAAAUCUUUAUGGGUUCUUCUUCAUAAGUCAUAUCUGGUCGAACCUCAAUCUCUGUAGGAGAAACUAUAUGUGAAGGAUCCGAACGAUAACGUCGCAACAUCGACACAUGAAAUACAUUAUGUAUCUUUUCCAACUCUGGCGGUAAAGCUAACCGAUAUGCUACAGGGCCAACUCUCUCGGUAACUUCAUAUGGUCCAAUAAAACAUGGACUUAGUUUGCCUUUAUGACCAAAUCUCAGAAUCUUCUUCCAUGGGGAUACUUUCAAGAACACUUUAUCACCCACUUGAAACUCAAUUUCUUUUCUCUUUAAAUCCGCAUACGACUUUUGCCGAUCUGAGGCAGCUUUUAGGCAAUCACGGAUUAUUUUCACCUUUUCUUCAGUUUCUUUCACCAGGUCGACUCCAUGAAUCCGAUUCUCACCGAGUUCAGUCCAAUAUAAAGGGGUUCUACAUUUACGCCCAUAUAAUGCUUCAUACGGUGCCAUUUGUAUACUUGACUGAUAACUAUUAUUAUAAGCAAAUUCAACCAGUGGUAGAUAUUUCUCCCAACUGUCCUUCAUUUCUAAAAUACAACACCGGAGCAUGUCUUCAAGAACUUGAAUCACCCUUUCUGAUUGCCCGUCAGUUUGCGGAUGAAAUGCAUUACUGAAAUUCAAUUUCGUACCCAAAGCUUCCUGUAACUUUAUCCAAAACCUCGAAGUAAAUCUCGGAUCUCUAUCCGAUAUAAUAGAUUUAGGCACCCCAUGUAGUCUCACUAUUUCAGCAACAUAUAAUUCAGCCAACCUGUCAAGUGAAUAAUCAAUGCGUAUCGGAAUAAAAUGGGCUGACUUUGUCAAUCUAUCCACAAUUACCCAAAUAGCAUCUUUCUUCUUUGGAGUUAAAGGCAAUCCUGUCACGAAAUCCAUCGUGAUACUGUCCCACUUCCAUUCUGGAAUCGUUAUCGGUUGAAGUAAACCCGAUGGCACUUGAUGCUCAGCCUUUACUUGUUGACAGAUUAAACAUUUUGUUACAAAUUCCGAGAUAUCCUUUUUCAUGCCCGGCCACCAAUACAACUUCCUCAAAUCAUUGUACAUUUUCACACUACCCGGAUGGACUGAUAAAUCACCACUGUGUGCCUCACCUAAAAUAGUCCGAAUUAGCUCAUCAUUUCUCGGUACACAUAUUCUGUCCCUGAACAUCAGGCAAUCAUCUGAACCAAUUUGAAAAUCUGAGUCAACACCUACUUCACACUGAGCUCUCUUGGCUUGCAAUUUACUGUCAUUCUUUUGAGAUUCCCGAAUUUGCUGAAGAAAUAACGGUCUAGCUCUCAAUUCAACCAACAUUGAGCCAUCAUCAGAUAAAGUUAACAUCGUAUCCAUAGCUCUCAAAGCAAAUAAAGAUUUUCUGCUCAAGGCAUCAGCAACCACAUUAGCUUUCCCGGGGUGAUAAUCAAUCACUAGCUCAUAGUCUUUGAUUAGCUCGAGCCAUCUUCGUUGCCGCAAAUUCAAGUCUUUUUGACUCAUCAAAUAUUUCAAACUCUUAUGAUCAGUGAAGAUUCGGCACUUUUCACCAUACAAAUAAUGACGCCAAAUUUUUAAAGCAAAAACAAUGGCAGCCAAUUCUAAAUCAUGCGUCGGAUAAUUCUUCUCAUGCGGUUUCAACUGUCUCGAAGCAUAAGCUAUUACUUUGCCCUCUUGCAUUAACACACACACAAGGCCAUUCAACGAUGCAUCACUGUAAAUUACAAAUUCCUUCCCGGACUCAGGUUGCACCAACACUGGCGCCUCAGUCAAUAAUGCCUUCAACUUUUCAAAACUCUGUUGACAUUUAUCGGUCCAUUCAAACUUGACAUUCUUCUGCAGUAACUUAGUCAUAGGAGAAGCAAUCAUCGAGAAUCCCUUGACAAACCGUCUGUAAUACCCAGCUAAGCCCAGGAAGCUUCUAACUUCAGUCACAUUCUUUGGUGGCUCCCAAUCAACAAUUGCUGAAAUUUUGCUUGGAUCAACCCGAAUACCUUCACUUGAAACUAUAUGUCCCAAGAAUCCAACCUCACGAAGCCAAAACUCACUUUUGCUGAAUUUAGCAUACAAUUUCUUUUCUCUCAGAAUCUGCAACACAGUUCUCAAAUGUUCUGCAUGUUCCGAUUCAUCCCGAGAAUAGAUUAAAAUAUCACCUAUGAACACCACCACGAACUUGUCUAAGUACAGCCGAAAAAUUCGGUUCAUCAAGUCCAUAAAAAUAGCUGGAGCAUUAGUCAACCCAAAAGGCAUUACCAGAAAUUCAUAGUGUCCAUACCUCGUUCUGAAGGCGGUUUUCGGCACAUCAGAUUCUUUAACUCUCAACUGAUAGUAACCAGACCUCAGAUCGAUCUUGGAGAACACUGUUGCCCCUUUUAAUUGAUCAAACAAAUCAUCAAUUCUCGGCAAAGGAUACUUGUUCUUUAUGGUCACCUUAUUGAGCUGACGAUAGUCAAUACAAAGUCUCAUAGAGCCGUCCUUCUUUUUCGCAAAUAACACAGGAGCACCCCAAGGAGAAAAACUCGGUCUCACAAAUCCUUUAUCUGUCAACUCUUGUAACUGAGCUUUUAAUUCCUUCAACUCAGUCGGAGCCAUUCGAUACGGUGCAAUAGAAAUCGGUGCAGUACCAGGUAACAGAUCAAUAGAAAACUCAACUUCUCUAAUCGGAGGUAACCCAGGCAAUUCCUCUGGAAAUACAUCUGGAAAUUCACAGACUACCGGCACUGAUUCAAGCUUCGACCCAGUUAUAUCAGUAUUCAACACAUAAGCAAGAUAAACUUCACAUCCCUUUCUCAAGUAUUUCUGAGCAGACAUGUGCGAAAUCACCAUAGGCAACUUAUUCGGCUCCUCUGUUUCAAUCCGGAGAAUUUCACCAUUUUCACACUUUAAUUCAAGAAUUUUCUGUCUACAAUUCACCUUGGCAUCAUGCAAUAUCAACCAAUCCAUCCCCAAAAUAACAUCGAACUCAUCAAAUGGUAACAACAUCAAAUUAGCCAGGAAACAGUGACCUUGAAUCAUCAGGGGGCAAUUCUUGCAAAUCUUAUCAACUAAGACAUACUUGCCUAAUGGAUUUGAUACUUUAACUACAUAUUCAGUGUUUUCAACAGGCAAUUUCUUACUAGAUACCAAUUUCAUGUAUACAUAUGAAUGAGUAGAGCCGGGAUCAAUCAAAGCAAUAACAUCUAUAUCAUGAAGAGAAAAUGUACCAGUAAUCACAUCGGGAGAUGAGGCAUCCUCUCGAGCACGUAUGGCAUAAGUCCUGGCAGGCGCUCUAAUUUCUGAUCCUCCAGCUGCAUCUUUCAUCACACUUUUACCACUGACUUUGCUUCCCACAUUUCUCGGCGGUCUCCCUCUACUAACAAUAUCACCCGAUCCAGCUCUUGGCAAAUUUUCUUCCUCUCUUCUCUCAGGGCAAUCUCUUACAUAAUGCUCUUGGGAACCACACCUGAAACAAGCUCGUUUAAAUCCCCAACACUCACCAAUAUGUCGCCUGCCACACUGUUGACAUUCAGGUCGGGUGUUUCCUACAUUGCCCACACUUGCUACAGAGGUAGCUCGAGUUGUAGCUCCAGAAUACGACCUCCCUCGGUCUCUGCGUGAAUACCCAACUGAACCAGUUGGUCGUGGAUCCAUCCCUUUAAACUUCUUCGAAUGAGAUUGAAAUGUUCUACCCAUUGUCCUCUUCCUUACAUCUCGAGAUUCCAUCUCUGCCCUUCUCUUUUCUCUACUCAGUUCUUCAGCUUUACAGGCCCGAUCAACUAACACCACAAAUUCUUUUAACUCUAAAAUCCCAACAUGCAAUCUGAUGUCUUUAUUUAGCCCCUCUUCAAAUCUUUUACACAUAAUAGCCUCCGUAGGCACACAUUCCUGGGCAUAUUUACUAAGCCGAACAAACUCCCGUUCAUAUUCUACUACGGACAUUCGGCCCUGUUUCAACCCGAGAAACUCUUUGCGUUUUUGAUCAAUAAAUCGUUGGCUUACAUAUUUCUUUCUAAAUUCUUCCUGAAAGAAGUCCCAAGUAACUCUUUCUUUUGGAACCACCGAUAUCAAUGUUUUCCACCAACGAUAUGCCGAAUCCUUCAAUAAAGACACAGCACAUUUCAAACAUUCUUCAGGGGUGCAAGAUAAUUCAUCAAAUACCCGAAUAGUAUUUUCAAGCCAAAACUCGGCUUUUUCCGGAUCAUCAUCAACAUUGGCCCUAAAAUCUUCAGCCCCAUGCUUUCGAAUUCUAUCAACAGGUGGCUUACUUGAUCUCACCAAUUCGGCACUCCGUGGAGCUACGGGGACCGGUUGAGGAAUAGGAGGGGGUGGAGGAGGAGGAACAUUCGGAUUUACACGGACAUAUUCUAUAUACCAAUCACUCAUCAUUCGGAGGAAGGCUUCCCGAGCCUCAUCCUGUCCAUGUGUCUCAUGUCUACUCUCUUCCUGCGUGGUCCCUUGCGCGAGAGUCGGCGCGUUACUUUCAACAUCAUCUGCCACACUUCGAUCAGGAUCCAUUUACUAUAUAAAACAAAAUUUUAAAUUGUCAGAAAUCAUCACACUAUCACAAUAAUUUUAUGGCAUGUAUAGACUGACUUCCACACGUAUUUUAUUGGUCCGAGAACCGACUAAACCGUAGCUCUGAUACCACUAAAAUGUAACACCCCUUACCCGUAUUCCUUACCGGAACAGAGUAUGAGGUAUUACUAAAUUUUUAAAAAUUUUCGACAGCAUUCCUACUUAUUUUUGCUUAAACCUCCUGCAAAUUUAGAACACAUUCCAAUAUACCAACCAAUUUCAUUUGUAUAAACACACAUAUAGUUUAACUAUUAAUAAACACUACAUUUAAAAGGGAACCAUAACAUAUAUUUACAUGAUGAUCCCACAUUACAUAAAGUGUCUAUACAUGCCAUAAAAUUUCGGAACACUAGUAGUAAAAUACCCCAAAUGUGAAGGAUAGUGUAGAUGAUUGUCUGACUUCGUUCCAAUUUCCGAGUUGUUGGAAGUCACUAUAACCAAGAGAAAAAUAAAAUCGAGUAAGCAUAUAGCUUAGUAAGUAAACACAUGAUAAAUAAGUAAUUACUCCCAUAACUACACCAAAAUAUAAACUUAUUCAUGAAUAACUUUAUUGUUUAGGCAAUUUCCAGCAAGCUGUUUUUCUGCGUCAUAGUCGCUAAUUUAUUUUUAUCUGGAGCUACAGGGCUCCAAAUUGAGUUCCGUAAAUUUUACCUGAAACUAGACUCAUAUACCAUUUCACCAUAAAAAUUUCAGAAUUUUUAACCCAGCCAAUUAGUACAGUUUAUUCAUUAAACCUUCCCCUGUUUCACUGCCCAACGGUUCUGACCCUUCCUCACUAAAAUUUACUUAACUCUCUGUACAAAAUUUGAAAAAUGAGUUUUCUUGUUUCUAAUAAAAAUAGACUCAAUAAGGAUUCCAGGGAUAUAAAUUUCAUGCGAUAAUUAUUUUUUUACAAUUUUUGGUAAUUUUCCAAAGUUAGAACAGGGGAUCUCGAAAUCAAUCCAGCCCUGUUUUAGUAAAAUUCAGAUAUCUCCAAAAAUACAACUCUUUUGCUUAUUCUAUUUCUUUCAUAUGAAAACAGACACAUCCAGCUUCAAUUUCAUAUAUUAUUCAGCUUCCCAUUCAUUUUCCACCAUUUAUGGUGAUUUUUCAAAGUUACCCAACUGCUGUUGUUCAACACAGUUUAUAAUUAAAUCGUUCCUUUUUUCGUUUUUGAUAUUUUCUCCCAUCUCAUACAUGGAUCGAUUUAGUGUCCAACUCAAUAUUUACCCCAUAAAAUUUUCCACCAUAUGGCAAUAUUCACCUUCCACACUUUUUCGUUGAACACUCGGAAUGUUAACCGUUAUUGGUGGAUCUCGCACUUAGCACCACCACUGAAUCGGGGAAUCAUCACUUAGCAACCCCUCGGGGGAAUCAGCACAUAGCAACCCCCUUUUCAUUUCAAAUAUACAAUGGAUAUUGCACUUAGCAACCCCUCGGGGGAAUCAGCACAUAGCAACCCCCUUUCACAUUUCAAAGAUAUGGUGGAUAUCGCACUUAGCACCACCAAUGAACCGGGGAAUCAGCACUUAGCAACCCCUCGGGGGAAUCAGCACAUAGCAACCCCCUUUUCACAUUUCAAAGAUAUGGUGGAUCACGCACAUAGCACCACCAAUGAAUCGGGGAAUCAGCACUUAGCAACCCCUCGGGGGAAUCAGCACAUAGCAACCCCCUUUUUACAUUUCAAAGAUAUGGUGGAUCACGCACAUAGCACCACCAAUGAAUCGGGGAAUCAGCACACAGCAACCCCUUUAUAUACAACAUACUCCGGCUUAUUCCGAGUGUUCAACCCAUAAACUAUAUAUUGCAACCCUUUACCACCUUUCCCGAUUUAACAACAUUUUUAGGAUAUUGCCAAACAUUUAUUUUAAUUCCAAAUAAAUCUCAACAUAUAUCAAAUAAUAUCAAAAUAAUACAUUAAGUCACGUGUUUACUUACCUCGGUGCAAAAUAUCGUAAUUUUGCACUUUACUCCACUAUCUUUUCUUUUCCUCGUUUGAUAUACUCUUCACGUCUUUCUUGAUCUAUAAUAGCAAAUUUAACUCGUUUAAAGUCCACAUUUAUUAAAAUAAUCCACCACCCAACUUUUUGAAAAUUACAAUUUUGCCCCCAAACUUUUGCAUAAUUACACUUUUGUCCCCAGCUUGGAAAUUAAACUUCAUCACUUAUUCUUAAGUUUUAUAACAUGCUGAACAUUUUUCCCUUCUAUGGAAACAUCAAAUUCCCACUCCAACACAUACUUUUGAAUAUUAAUUAUUUUUACCGAUUAUGUCUAUUUACCCGUUUUCGCUUAAAAUUGCUUAGCAAAAGUUGUUUAACAUAAUCUCUAGCUUCAUAUUCCACCAUAAAACAGCAAAAUAAACACAUUUCACCUAUGGAUAUUUUUCCAAAUAUGAACCCUAACAUGAAUUAAUGGUAGAAUAAGCUAAACCAAGUUACCGGGACUCCAAAAAUACGAAGAACAUUAAAAACGGGGCUUAGAAUCACUUACUAUGGAGCUUGAAAGCUUAAAAACCCUAAAUAUGGCUUCCCCCUUGCUGAUUUCGUUCACCAUGAAGAAGAUGAGCAUAUUUUGCCAUCUUUUUCCCAUUUAAUUCUAUUUAAUAACCAAAUGACUAAAAUGCCCCCAUUUAAAAAAAAUCUAUUUCACCCAUUUCUUAUGUCUAUUUUUGUCCAUCAACUAACUAAUGGUCUAAUUACCACAUAAAGACCUCCAAUUUAAAAUUUCAUAACAAUUAGACACCUCUAAGAUGUAGAACUCAACUUUUGCACUAUUUACAAUUUAGUCCUUUUGACUAAAUUGAGUGCCCAAACGUCGAAAUUUUCGAACGAAAUUUUUACGAAAAUUUUCCGUGAAAUUGUAGAUCAUAAAAAUAUAAUAAUAACCAUAUUUUCCCUCGUCGGAUUUGUGGUCCCGAAACCACUAUUCCGACUAGGCCCAGAAUCGGGCUGUUACAGGGAGGGAUCUACAACCAUGUUGUGGCGUAGGCGUACCCGUCGUCUUAAGGGUUGGUGAUGGGAAAAAUGGUUAUGGUUGAGACUGAGGUCGAGGAAUAAGGCAUGACAGAGGCAUUCCUAUUGAAAAUGCCCUAGUAAUUGUACAUGUUGGUAUUGACCACAUACUUAAAUUUAUAGAUGUAGAGGUUUAUCUUGGAUUUGCCUAGAUAAUAGAUGAAAAUAUGAUGCAUCAAGUAGAUCGAAGAUGAUAAUUUUUUUUAUAUUACUGUAAUAGGCCUUACCCACUCGAUGAUCAAUACAAAUAUGAUAUGCUACAGUAACACUUUUAAGCUUAAACCAAAAAUUUUCCUUUGUAAAAAUACUUGCUUCGCAACAUAUUAAUUUUUUAAAUCAAAUUGGUGAGGUUUAAGAAGAUUCACAUAUGAUUAGAAAUCAUUUCGGGUCAUUAGGUACAUAUAGAGACAUCCAAAUUAUAAAAUAAGUGUUUGAAGUUCUUUUACUUAAAUCAAGGUCUUUUGGGUUGAGAAGGAUAGGAGUUUUACAAUAGCUUAAAAAUUAAAAUAAUUAAAUAAAAUUAUAGAAAUAAGAUAAAUAAUUUUCAAGGCUUUAAAAUCAUUUAGAAACUUUUUGUAGGUGACCAGAGGCUUCUAAGGUCAAGUAUGAGCUCCAGGCCGCUCAAAACAACCAAAAUAGUGCAAGGGACCAUGUUUAAGGGCUGGGUAUCAUACUUUUUAUUACCCAUUUUUUUAUGAGAAACAUACAAGUUCAUUAUUUUUGCUCUCCAAUUAAAUCUUAUGGCUCAUAGUUUAACUUAUGUUAAAAACAAACCUUUGUUGACUUAUCUCAAAUUCAAUUUGUGUUACAAGUUAAAAGAACCUAAUAUCAUGACAUAUUUAAAUUUUAGCUCAAGUACCUAACACUUUUAUUUUCAUCAAAUGAUUUAUAUUCACAAUAAAAUUUCAUUAUUAAUAUUUUAAAACUUUUUCACCCUUAGCAAAUACUAGAAAAAUGAGAUUCAAAUACUUUGGUACCAUCUAGAACACACAAAGAGCAUGAUACAUGCACGAAUGGACUAAAAUUUAUUAAAUUUCAUUCAUCGAAGCUGCUAAUUUUCAAGUUUGAAAAAUCAAUCGACUUGCGAAGACUUUUUGGAUGGGAUCCAAAAAUUUCUAGGUUGAGAUGUCUUUAUAGAGUUUGAAGAUCUAUCCAUUAGCCUCAAAAUGCACUUUGAAUCUGAUGCGAGUCUCAAGGCCCAAUUUCAAGCUUAUGGAUGUGAAGGGCUUACGUUACCUCAAGGGCCAAUAAUAAGAUCAAAGGCCAAGCAAAUCAAACUAAGAUUCAAUUAAAGACAAUACGUGAGGAUGAAUCUUUUCGAGGAGAGGGGGAAUGAUACAUGCAUGGAAUGUCUGAAAUUUAUUAAAGUCAAUCCAAACAAACUACCAAUUUUCAAUUUGAAAAUAUUAGUCAAAUUGGACAAUGUUUUGGAAUUUUUUGGCUGAGAUCCAAAAAUUUAUGGGCUUAGAUGUCUGAAUAGUGGUUGAAGAUCUAUCUCUUAGCUUCAAAACACACUUUGAAUCACUCGAUUUUGAGUUUGGAAGCUCAAGUUAUGACAAUUUUAGUGAAGACUGCGUGAACAAAAUUUCUGGAUGAGGAUAAUACAGAAAUUAUGAGUUUUAGGCUUUUUAUUCAAGUUUAAAUCAUAUUGGGUUCGAGUUUCAGGCUUAAUUUUUAUUAUACACGAGACGAAUAUUGUAUUUAUUAAGUUUUAUUAUUUAUUUAUGUUGAAUUUUGGAUAAUUUUAAGUAUUAUAAGUUAUUUAAGAGUUUUAUGUCAACAAUAAAGUUUAGUUUAAAACUACUUCUUGUCUAGGUUAAUUAGAGUUUCAGUAUACUUAAGAGUUUUAUUUGGAUUUAUUUAUCUAGCCUAUAUAAAGGUCUCUUCAUUGUAAAAAAUUAUUCAAAAAUCAAUUCAUUCAUUAUUCACUUUGAGUUAAUAAGAUUCUUUUUGAGUUUUCUAUUUAAGAAUUUCUCUUGAGUUCUCUUUUAGAAAAGUUUUAACAAUCUUCUCAAUUUGUGAGGAUCAUCUUCAAGCUUUUUCUUUCUAAGUUUAAUUUCUUUAAGGGAAAAUUAGAGUCAUUCAAAAGGAGUUGUGGAUUCAUCGAGUUUCCAAGGCUCAUUAGAACUUCUACAUGCCAUCUUCAUAUUUUCCAUCUAUCUACUUUAUUCUAUUUUGUUCCUAUUUAAUUAUUGAAAAUUUUUAUUUAUUUAAUUUUUCUAUCUUAAUUAUCUAUUUUAAUUUCUUCCUUUAAUUUUUAAAUUUUUAGAUUUGACUUGGAUUUGUUUAUGUUUCAAGUUGUGUCAAAAUCUCCAAAGUCAAAUAUGCGACUUGCACAAAACAUACGAUCCUGUUCCGCACUAAUUCAUAUCAUUUGGUAUAUUGCUUCUUUUAAUUUGUUUAAAUCUAACUUGAAAUUUUUUUGCAUUUCAGGUUGUGUCAAAGUCCAAGAUUCUUUCUGAUCAUCUAGAGCCCUAAGCCAAAUCUAUGACUUCGACAAACUUACGAUCCUCUUCUAUUCUUGUCCCUAUCAUAAUCACUCGAUUUUGAGUUUGGCAUCUCAAUUUAUGGUUGUUUUAGUAAAGACUGUGUGAGAAGAAUUUUUGGAUGGGACUAUUACAAAAAUUACGAGUUUUGGGCUUUUAAUUCAAGUUCAAAUCAUAUUGGAUUCACUAAGAUGGUCAUAACUUGAGCUCCUAACCUCAAAAUUAAGAGAUUCAAAGUGCAUUUCAAACCUAAGAGAUAGAUCUUUGAACUCUAUUGAUGUGAAGCGGCUCAGUAGGUUGAGUUGAGUCAUCUUAAUUUCCCAAUCGUCGACGAGGAAGUAUCGCUCCAAAAAUAAUAGUUGGUUUGUAAUCGGCUAAAUAUGAAGUAAAGUGAUGGAAAAUGUUCAAAAAUAGGUUAAGUUUGAUAUGGAUAGGUUCGGCUAACAAUAAAAUUUGAUAGAUAAUUUGAUGGAUAGAAGAAAUGGAAAUUCAAACUUAAGCGUCAAGAAUGAUCCAACACUAUAGAGGGUGUCGUCCCAAGACUUAUAUUGCUUAAGGUGAUUGAUGGAAAUAGAAGGAUAGACCUCGACCCGUUACUUAGCAAAGUAGGAAUCCAAGGUAUAAAAAGAUGGACGAACGCCACACCAGGAUUGGUUAUAAGUUUGGAAGGAGUUCGGUUGACGCCACUAGCAUGCUAGAUAAGUCAAUUCGAGACUCACACAAAAUAUGAGAGAGAGAACCUCACAAGAGCAAUAGUUCAUUAAUAAAUUUGACAAAUAGUUCUUUUACAAUGAAAAUAAACAACUAUUUAUAGCCUAUGCACUAGCUAGCCGGAUGGUCACAAAUAAGUCUUUAAAAACUAAGUAAAAUUCAGCUAAAAUAAGCUGGAAAAUUCCAGAAUAAAAACCAUUAAAAUCCAUAGCAAGAUUCGGCUGAAUGGAGUCCAAAAGACAGCUUCUAGAAUGGGCAAAUGAACCUGGAAAGAUCAAUGGCGCAUGGCAACAGCUAGGUUCGGUCGAUUAAGCUUAAAUGAGCUCAUUAAAAUGCAAUUCUUGGCUGAAAAGAUACCAGCAUUAAAGGAGGACUUGGACAACCUUGAAAGUGUGAAAAGUCAGCUUCUAGAUUGAGCAAUAAACUUGGAAAGAUGAAUGCUUGAGGGAGGCUAAUGGCCAUGUCCAUAUCCAGCCACUUGGGACGCCAAUGGGCAGCUUAAUGAUAAAGAAAAAUUCAGCUGGAUGAAUUUGGCUGUAGGGAGGUGAAUGGCUUUGUCUAAAUUUGGCCAAAGCUUGAAGGACACCUCCAAUAGAUGCCUCUUGCUCGAAUGGUCACCUAGGAGAUUCAAAGGAUUAGGAAAAUUCAUGUAACUAGACAUGCAUGCAUUCUUUUAUUCAUUGUAACUUGCUCUUCAUGCAUUUAGCUCCUUCAUUAAUGUGUUUUUAUUUUGGUAGCCACUCCUUGGCCGAAUAGGUGUUUGGGGAAGUGAACAAUCAGCUCAAGAUUCUUUGAAGAUGGCCAUGCAUGUACCGUCCAAUUCAUUGAACCUAAUAUGCAUGAAUCUUGAUUAAAUGCACCCCAAAUUUGACUCACCUACAAGAACAAAUGAACCAAAAUUAAUUCACAUAAAAUUCAGCUGAACAUGCAUUAAUAUAAUUUUAGAUACACUAAUUAACAUAAUAAUUAACUUAUGACAAAUUUAUUAUUAUCUUAACAAGACAAAUUAAAUUCGGCAUUGACUAAGACAUAACAAAAACUUGUAAUAGCUAAGAACAUAUUAAUGAGCUGUAAUAAUACUUUCUAAUUUAUUUUAAAUAAUUAAUUUAUUCCAGCAAGUAAAUUUAGUGAGCUAAAAAAAUCUAAUAACGAGCUCAAUGAGCUGAAUUGAGCUCGUGUGAGCUAACUUGAGCUCGAAUGAGCUGAACCACAUGGAAAGUAGUUUGAUUGAGCUGAAAAUGAGCUUCUCGUGCUUUGUUUGAGCUGGGUCGAGCUUGCAAGGAUGGCGAGCCUCGUUUUGUAAGCUGAACCAUGGGCAUUCCUGGCCGGGAUCGUAUCAAUCCCCCGUCUUCAGAAUGACUUGUCCUCAAGUCGAGCCGUUGGUUCACUCAAUCAUAGCUCCUCUUAUAGGGCUUUCUUUGGACGAAUGGGGUGAAUGGCAAAUGAGUCAUCUAAAAUUUAUAGCCAUGAGUUAGCAAGAAGCAAUGCAAACAAAUUUGCAGUCCGAGCAUAAUCAAAACAAGUAUAAUGCAUGCGAAUGGACAGAUGCAAAUCACCAUGUUUACAAUCAGGCAAACAAACUAAUUUACUUGCCGAUGCCUCGUCAAAUGUUCAAUACAAAUAUGGACAUGUUUUAAGGCAUUCAAAAAUCUCAAAUUGUUUCCACAAGUCAUGAUUAAAUCGCGAGUAAUAAAUCAAAUGGUAGACGUAAUUGUCACAAGUAGGUAUUUGAAAAGAUUCACACAGUCCACGGAGUUGCACAAUCAUACCGUGCAUUAGACGAUUGACUAUAGAUUCACUCACACAUGCAUCAUAAAAUUUAUCAGAAACAAGAAUCUUUUUAUCAACCACAUAGAUAGAUCAUCAAUGAAUAAGAUAGAACAGUCAAGCAAGUCGCGAUCUAAGUGAUUUACAAGAACCAAAGCAACAACACGAUUUUUGUCACCACCCGAAGAGAACAAGGAUGUUUCAAAAAGUUCAGUGGUCUUACCUUUUAAAGUAGGAAAACAAAGAUCGAUUUUACCUUGUUCGAUCAACACAAAUCUUCACUUCUCAAGGGUAUAGUGUAGUCGAAGCUUCAUGGUUGAGUUAACCUGUGUCAAAUGGAAUGCAAACUUCAUGUACAACCAUAGAAAUUGUUUAAGGCACGAAUACAAAUUGAAAACAAAUUUGGAAAAUUUCGUUACCUUAUUUAAAAACCAAGUAGCAAAACAAUAGAAAUUAUUCGCACAAAAUUUAAGAUGCUUGAUUUUUUCACAAAUCGAACCCAAACAAAUUCCCGGUUUAAACAUGCGAGUUUGAUUACUUAUGCCGAAAUGUAGCAAAGGUUUCAUUAAGUCAAACACGCUAAACCAACAGGAUUCGUGUGUCCACAGAAACAAACAUUCAAAACUCUUUACUUCCUUCAAACUAGAUUUGCAAAAACUUGAGGAUUUCAAACAAGGUAGUAAAUGGUUCACAUAAUCACCACAAUUAAUUAAAUUGAGAUGUUUAUAUGGAAAUUCAUUGUUACGCAGAAUCGAGUUUCACAUUUGCCGAUUAAACACGACUUCACCUUUAAACUUGUCAACGCAAAGAUUUGUUUUGGAAAAGCUUAUCUCACCACCAUUUGAGAUUUCAACAAUAAUCGAUAAAGGAAAAUCAACCAUUUUUGGCACGGAACUUUUACAAAGAUAAAGUCUUUGACAUUAUAUUUACCCACAUUCAAGGAAGAUAGUGGAAAUUCAACUGCUAGGUGUUCCUUGCCUAUCUUACCUUCGGGCUCGUGUGGUUUGAUUUCAUCUUCAUCCUUACCUUUUUUGGUCAUGCGAAAAUGUCGCUCGUCAGGAAGGUAUUGAAGUUGAAAAUUAUCGUCACUCAGCCUUUCGAAGACCUAAAAAGAAGGAACAAAACAAAAGCAAACAUCAUGGGGGUUAGUUAAAAUUUCGUUCUCUUUUUCUUGUUCUCGCUCACUAUCUUCAUAUUCUUUCGUUUCUUUUUCAAUAUCUUUUUCUUUUCCAAUUUUUUUUCUCAAUCUCAAUUUCUUUUUCAAUUUUCUUUUCUUCGUUUUCUUUUUCUCUCACUUCUUCGAUUUCUUGUUCUUUUGAAUUUCUUUUUCUUUUUCAUUUUCUAUUUCUUUUCCACUUUCUAUUUCUUUUUAUUUUUCUUUUUCUUUAUUUUCGUUUUUAUUACAACAUGAGGAUGAUACAAAAGAAUAAAAAAGAUAAUCAUUUGGCUCAAAGAAAGAGAAAAUAUUUUCGUAGGCUUCUCGUCCAUUUCUUCGAGAACAAUCCUUCGGGAAGGACUUCUUUGAUACAUACGAAGAAUAACUAUUGCUUUCUCAUUUGUCAUAUCGAAAAUUUGGAAGCUCGAAGCUGUCGCGUCUUGAAUUCCUUGACGAAUAGGAAUCCCGAUAAGAAUCUCUUAGUGAGUAGUCUUUGGACGUGUAUCACCUCGAUGAUCUCAACUUCAUGUCUCGACUUGGUGGAUUUUAUUUCCGUCGGGCCUUUUCCUCCACUUGAUCCAACCGUCUUUGUAAUGGACUUAGUUUUUCCUUUAACAUUCGGCCCAUCUCGUUCACCAAGUAUUGAAAUUCAUCGGUGGAGAAUUCUUCUCGAGACAUGAUUAUUCACUGAAAGAAGAAAUGUUAAAAGAAUAAUAACAGAAAAUUAGAUACCUCACUAUAAAAUCUCGCAAGUCACUCAGAAAGAAAAUUUCACUCCACUCGUGUUUACGCUCGUUUUGGCUUUUAUUCUCUCGAAUGAAUUUACGCUCUCUUUCCUUUUACCGCUCGUCUCACUCUCUUAAAUUCGUAUUUCGUUUCAAGUAAACUUAUUGCGGCUUAGAGGGUCAGCUUCAAAAUGGUUAAAUAGGGAUAAAAUGAAUGGGGUGGGAUAGGCUGAACAAAGAAAAUAAAACCAAAGUAUGUGUGGUGUUUUGGGGGAAGAAGAAAUAGUAGAAUGAAUGGAUGAUCGGGAAUAACAAGAAAUGAAAACAAAAUAAAACUCGCAAGACUCUCACUUCUUUUUUUUUAAUACUCGUAAUUUUUUUCUCUUUUUUUUUGAAUUUUCAUAAUUCCUUUUUUUACUCUUCAAUUACAAUAUGCUGAAAUACAAAGAAAGAAAAAAAAUUAAAUUACAACUUGAAUUUUUUUCACUUUUUUUACGUUACGAACCUACUUUCGGGCUUGAUACGAAUGUCGACACUCAUCGUUUUAGUAGCUCUGAUACCAAAUGAUGCGAACCAGCUCAGUAGGUUGAGUCGAGUCGUCUUAAUUGCCCAAUCGUCGAUGAGGAAGUAUCGCUCCAAAAUAAUAGGUUGUUUGUAAUCGGCUAAAUAUGAAGUAAAGUGAUGGAAAAGGUUCAAAAAUAGGUUAAGUUUGAUAUGGAUAGGUUCGGCUAACAAUAAAAUUUGAUAGAUAAUUUGAUGGAUAGAUGAAAUGGAAAUUCAAACUUAAGCGUCAAGAAUGAUCCAACACUAUAGAGGGUGUCGUCCCAAGACUUAUAUUGCUUAAGGUGAUUGAUGGAAAUAGAAGGAUAGACCUCGACCCGUUACUUAGCAAAGUAGGAAUCCAAGGUAUAAAAAGAUGUACGAACGCCACACCAGGAUUGGUGAUAAGUUUGGAAGGAGUUCGGUUGACGCCACUAGCACGCUAGAUAAGUCAAUUUGAGACUCACACGAAAUAUGAGAGAGAGAACCUCACAAGAGCAGUAGUUCAUUUAUAAAUUUGGCAAAAAGUUCUUUUACAAUGAAAAUAAAAAACUAUUAUAUAGCCUAUGCACUAGCUAGCCGAAUGUUCACAAACAAGUCUUUAAAAACUAAGUAAAAUUCAACUAAAAUAAGCUGGAAAAUUCCAGAAUAAAAACCAUUAAAAUCCUUAGCAAGAUUUGGCUCAAUGGAGUCUAAAGGACAGCUUCUAGAAUGGGCAAAUGAACCUGGAAAGAUCAAUGGCGCAUGGCAACAGCUAGGUUCGGCCAAUUGAGCUUAAAUGAGCUCAUUAAAAUGCAAUUCUUAGCUGAAAAGAUACCAACAUUAAAGGAGGACGUGGAAAGCCUUGAAAGUGUGAAAAGUCAGCUUCUAGAUUGAGAAAUAAAAUUGGAAAGAUGAAUGCUUGAGGGAGGCUAAUGGCCAUGUCCAUAUUCAGCCACUUAGGACGGCAAUGGGCAGCUUAAUGAUGAAGAAAAAUUCAGCUGGAUGAAUUAGGCUGUAGGGAGGUGAAUGGAUUUGUCUAAAUUUGGCCAAAGCUUGAAGGACACCUCCAAUAGAUGCCUGUUGGUCGAAUGGUCACCUAGGAUGUAACAACCCGAUUCUAGGCCUAGUCGGAAAAGCGGUUUCGGAACAACAAAUCUGACAAGGGAAAAUAUGGUUAUUAUUAUAUUUUUAUUGUCUACAAUUCCACAGAAAAAUUUGUAAAAAUUUCGUUUGAAAAUUUCGACGUUUGGGCACUCCAUUUAGUCAAAAGGACUAAAUUGUAAAAAGUGCAAAAGUUGAGUUUUACAUGUUAGAAGUGUCUAAUUGUUAUAAAAUUAUAAAUUUUGGGUCCUUAUGUGGUAAUUAGACUAUUAGUUAAUUUAUGGAAAAAAAUAGACAUAAGAAAUGGGUGAAAUAGAUUUUUUUAAAUGAGGGUAUUUUGGUCAUUUGGUAAUAAAAAGAAUAAAAAGGGAAAAAGAUGACAAAAAUCAUCAUCUUCUCCAUAGUGAACGAAAUCAGCAAGGGGGAAGCCAUAUUUAGGGUUUUCAAGCUUCCAAGAUCCAUAGUAAGUGAUUUCAAGCCCCGUUUUUAAUGUUCUUCGCAUUUUUAGAAUCCUCGUAGCUCGGUUUAGCUUAUUUUAUCAAUAAUUCAUGUUAGGGUUCAUAUUUGGAAAAAUACCCACAGGUGAAAUGUGUUUAUUUUGUUGUUUUAUGGUGGAAUAUGAAGCUAGAAUUUAUGUUAAACAACUUUUGCUCAGUGAUUUUAAGCAAAAACGAGUAAAUCGACAUAAUCGGUAAAAAUAUUUAUUGUUCAUAAGUGUAUGUUAGAGUGAGAAUUUGAUGUUGCCAUAGAAGGGAAAAGUGUUCAGCAUGUUGUAAAACAUAAGAAUAAGGUGGGAAAUUUAAUUUUCGAGCUUGGGGACAAAGAUGUAAUUAUGAAAAAGUUUAGGGACAAAAUUGUAAUUUUUAUAAAAGUUGAGUCGAAGCUUGUUUUAAUAAAUGUGAAUAUUAAACAAGCUCAAUUUUCUAUUAUAGAUCAAGAAAGAUGAGAAAUCAACCUUAAUCGGGGAAAAGAGAAGAUUGAGGAUUAAAUUGCAAAAUCUUUACAUUUUGUAUCGAGGUAAAUUGUAUGUAAUUAAUACAUUGUUAUAAUUAUUUUUGUUAUAUUUCAUGACAAUAUACGUGAAAGGAUCGAUAUUAUAAUGUGUUUUGGAUAAAUUGUAAAUAUAUUUGGAAAGUAAGAAUCUUUGUGAAACUGUCGUAAUGGUAAAAAAAUUUGAAUAAGGAUAUCGAUGAACAAGUGUGUAGUACUGUGUGAAGGCUACUACGUGUAUCGAUAAAUAAUGGUCACAUGUGUAGUACUAAGUGAAGGCUACUAUGUGUACCGAGAAGUUUUGAGCACGUGUGUAGUACUGUGUGAAAGCUACUACGUGUAUCGGUAAACUAUGGUUACAUGUGUGGUACUAAGUGAAGGCUGCUAUGGAUACUGAAAAGCUUUGGUAACGUAUGUAGUACUAUGUGAAGGCUACUACAUGAGCCGUAAAACUUGAUCACGUGUGUAGUACUAUGUGAAGGCUACUACGUGAACUGUAAAACUGAUCACGUGUGUAGUACUAUGUGAAGGCUACUACGUGUAUCGAAUGAUAAAAAUAAUAUGAGUAGUACUGUGUGAAAAGCUCUGAAUAUUAUUUUUUAUACCGUCAUGAUGAUGAAAUAUGAGUAUAUGAUCGGAAUGUGGUAAGUUGUGAAAAGUGAUUGAAGUGAUGAAGUUUGAGUUGUGUUAUAAAAUACAUGGUUAUAGUGCUAUGUGAAUAAGGAAUGUUGGAAUAGAAUAGAUUUGGACAGUGACAGUGAUAUUAGUUUGAAAAAUCACCAAAAAUUAUAGAAAUUGAGUUAGAUGCUGAAUUAUAAAUGAAAUUUAAGCUGAAUGAGUCUAUUUUCAUAUGGAAGAAACAGAGUAAGCAAAGGAGUUGUAUAUUUGGGGAUAUUUAAAUUUUAUUGAGACAGGGUUGGAUUGAUUUCGAAAUCCCCUAUUCCAAAUUUAGAAAUUCACCAAAAAUUAUAAAAAAAAGUAAUUAUGGCUUGAAAUUUACAUUUUUGAAUUCCUUAAUGAGUCUAUUUUUAAGAGAAAUAAAUGAGAACAUUGUUUGAAUUUUUUACAAAGAGUUAAAUAAAUUUUAGUAUGGAGAGGUCAGAACUGUAAGGCAGUGAAAUAGGGGAAGGUUUAAAGAAUAAACUGUACUAAUUUGAUGAACCAAAAAUUCUGAAAAUUUUAUGGUGGAAAGUUAUAUGAGUCUAGUUUUAGGGAAAAUUUACAGAUCUUAAUUUGGAGUUCUGUAGCUCUGGAUAAAAUAAUUUAGCGACUAUGAUGCAGAAAAAUAGUUUGCUGGAAAUUGAAUAAAUGAUAGAUUUAUGUGUGAUAGAAAUUUUAUUAUAUAUGAUAUUAUUCUAGAAAUUUAUUUAUCGAUUACAUACAUACUUUAUACGCUGUAAGCUUACUUCUCUUUAUUUUUCUUUUUUUUUUAUAGUGAUAUUAAUCAGCUCGGGAAUUGGACGGAGUCAGGACAUCAUCCUCACUAUCAUCAUCAUCUUUUGGGUAUUUUGCAACCAAUACUUUUGAAAAAUGGCAUGUAUAGAUGACUUUAUGUAAUGUGGUAUAAAUAUGUAUAUAUAUAGUAUUGUUCAGUUAAAUAUGUUGGAGUUUAUUAAUGGAUAAAUUAUGUUUGAAUAUAUAUAACUGUAAUUGGUUGAAAAUAUUGAAGUUGGUUGAAAUUGUCUUUGGAAAUCUGUAGGGGGUUUUAUGUAAAAAUAAGUAGAAAUGCUACCGAAAUUUUUAUAGAAAAAAAUUUAAGUGUUUGAGUUCUAGUAAUAUCUCAUACUCUGUUUCGGUAAGGAACACGGGUAAGGGGUGUUACAUUUUAAUGGUAUUAGAGCUAUGGUUUAGCCAGUUCUCGGAUUAGGGUAAUGUGUGUAAAAGUCUAUCUAUACAUGCCAUUUAAAUAUUGUGAUACUGAGAUGAUUUCUGACAAUUUAAAAUUUUGUUUUAUAUAGUAAAUGGAUCUUGACUGAAGUGUGGUAGAUGAUGUUGAAAGUAACGCGCCGGCUCCCGCACAAGGGAUCGCGCAUGAAGAAAGUAGACCUGAGACACAUAGUCAGGAUGAGGCUCGGGAAACUUUCCUUCGAACGAUGAGUAAUUGGUAUAUAGAAUUUGUUCGUGCAAAUCCGAAUGUUCAACCCCCUCCACCCCCUCCUAUUCCUCAACCGGUUCCCGCAGCUCCAAAAAAUGUUGACUUGGUAAGAUCAAGUAGGCCUCCCGUUGACAAAAUCCAAAAGCAUGGAGCUGAAGAUUUUAGAGCUAAUAUAGAUGAUGACCCACAGAAGGCAGAGUUUUGGCUUGAAAAUUCCAUUCGAGUAUUUGAUGAAUUGUCUUGUACUCCCGAAGAAUGUUUAAUGUGUGUAAUAUCUUUGUUAAAAGAUUCAGCGUAUCGUUGGUGGAAAAGAUUGGUAUCUGUGGUUCCGAAAGAAAGGGUUACGUGGGAAUUCUUCCAGGAUGAAUUCAGAAAAAAAUACAUAAGCCAAUGGUUCAUCGAUCAAAAACGCAAGGAAUUUCUCGAGUUGAAGCAGGGCCAAAUGUCUGUGGCUGAGUAUGAAAGAGAGUUUGUUAGAUUGAGUAAAUAUGCUCAAGAAUGUGUACCCACCGAAGCUGCUAUGUGUAAAAGGUUUGAAGAUGGUUUAGAUGAAGACAUUAGAAUAUUUGUUGGGAUGUUGGAACUGAAGGAAUUUGUAGUAUUGGUUGAUCAAGCUUGUAAGGCUGAAGAAUUGAAUAAAGAAAAGAGAAAAGCUGCGAUGGAGGCUCGAGAUACAAGAAAGCGUCCUAUGAGUAAACCAUUUCAAACUCAGUCAAAGAAGUCUAAAGAGGUGAAUCCUAAAGUGAUUGCUUCAACUGUAUAUCCACGUUGAGACCGGGGAAAAUUGUAUUUGGGUUCUGAAGCUCAAGCUACAUCGGUAUCAAGUGUGGGUAGUAUGAAGCCUAGUAGACCGGAGUGUUAGCAUUGUGAAAGACAACAUCCUGGUGAAUGCUGGUUAAUUAGCCGGGCUUGUUUCAAGUGUGGUUCUCGACAACAUUAUAUUAAAGAUUGCCCUGAGAAAAUUGAAGAAGAAAAAUUUCAGAAUGUUAGAUCGAGUGAUACUGUCAGCAGAGGUAGACCGUCGAGAAACACCGGAACUAGAGAUAGUGGUAAAAGUGGAAUGAAGGGUACAACUACAAAAUCAGAACCUCGAACACCUGCUAGAGCUUAUGCUAUAUGUGCUCGUGAGGAUGCAUCAUCUCCCGAUGUGAUUACUGGUACAUUUUCUCUUUAUGAUAUUGAUGUUGUUGCUUUGAUUGACCCUGGGUCUACUCAUUCAUAUGUAUGUGUGAAUUUAGUAUCUAAUAAAAAUUUGUCUGUUGAAAACAAUAAAUUUGUUGUAAAAGUAUCAAACCCUUUAGGCUAAUAUGUUUUAGUUGAUAAGGUUUGCAAGAAUUGUCCUUUGACGAUUCAAGGUUACUGUUUCCCGGCUAAUCUGAUGCUCUUACCAUUUGAUGAGUUCAAUGUUAUCUUGGGGAUGGAUUGGUUGAUUUUGCAUGAUGCCAAGGUAAAUUGUAGACAGAAAAUCCUUGAAUUGAAAUGUGGAAAUGGUGAAACUUUUCGGGUUGAAGCGGAGGAGCUGAAUAAACUGCCUAGGGUGAUUUCGCAUAUGUCUGCUCAGAAGUAUAUGAGAAAAGGAUGUGAAGCUUAUCUUGCUUAUGUGUUGAAUACUAGUAUAACUGGGUCGAAGCUUGAUUCAGUUUCGAUAGUCUCUGAAUUUCCAGAUGUAUUUCCAAAGGAAUUGCCUAGGUUACCUCCGAUUAGAGAAGUUGAGUUCGCUAUCGAUUUAUUACCUGGUACCGCACCGAUUUCUAUUGCUCCAUAUCGGAUGGCUCUGACUGAAUUGAAAGAAUUAAAGGCUCAGUUGCAAGAAUUGACGGAUAAAGGGUUUGUGAGACCGAGUUUUUCUCCUUGGGGUGCUCCUGUAUUAUUUGUGAAGAAGAAAGAUUGUUCUAUGAGACUUUGUAUUGAUUACCGUCAGCUCAACAAAGUGACUAUAAAGAACAAGUAUCCCUUACCGAGAAUUUAUGAUUUGUUUGACCAACUAAAAGGAGCGACAGUGUUUUCAAAGAUUGAUUUAAGAUCUGGUUACUAUCAGUUGAGAGUUAGGGAGUCAGAUGUACCAAAGACUGCUUUCAGAACGAGGUAUGGACACUACGAAUUUUUGGUAAUGCCUUUUGGUUUAACUAAUGCUCCGGCUAUUUUUAUGGAUUUGAUGAAUCGAAUUUUUCGACCGUAUCUGGAUAAGUUUGUGGUGGUGUUCAUAGGUGAUAUUUUAAUUUAUUCUUGGGAUGAAUCCGAGCAUGUAGAACAUUUGAGAACUGUGUUGCAGAUUCUGAGGGAGAAGAAAUUGUAUGCUAAAUUCAGCAAAAGUGAGUUUUGGCUUCCUGAAGUUGGAUUCUUGGGACAUAUAGUUUUAAGUGACGGUAUUCGGGUUGAUCCAAACAAAGUUUCAGCAAUUGUUGAUUGGGAACCACCAAAGAAUGUAUCCGAAGUUAGAAGCUUUCUGGGCUUAGCCAGGUAUUACAGAUGCUUUGUCAAGGGAUUCUCUAUGAUUGCUUCUCCUAUGACCAAGUUAUUGCAAAAGAAUGUCAAGUUUGAAUGGACCGAUAAAUGUCAACAAAGUUUUGAGAAAUUGAAGGCUUUAUUGACUGAGGCACCAGUGUUGGUACAAUCCGAGUCAGGGAAGGAGUUUGUAGUUUACAGUGAUGCAUCAUUGAAUGGUCUUGGAUGUGUGUUAAUGCAAUAGGGCAAAGUAAUAGCUUAUGCUUCGAGACAGCUGAAACCGCAUGAGAAGAAUUAUACAACGCAUGAUUUAGAGUUGGCUGCCAUUGUUUUUGCUUUAAAAAUUUGGCGCCAUUACUUGUAUGGUGAGAAGUGCCGAAUCUUCACUGAUCAUAAGAGCUUGAAGUAUUUAAUGAAUCAAAAAGACUUGAAUUUGCGACAACGAAGAUGGCUUGAGCUAAUAAAAGAUUAUGAGCUGGUGAUUGAUUAUCAUCCCGGAAAAGCUAAUGUGGUUGCUGAUGCCUUGAGCAGAAAAUCUUUAUUUGCUUUGAGAGCUAUGAAUAUGAGAUUAAAUUUAUCUGAUGAUGGUUCAAUUUUGGAUGAAUUGAGGGCUAGACCGUUAUUUCUUCAGCAAAUUCGGGAAGCUCAAAAGAAUGAUAGUAAAUUGCAAGCCAGGAAGGCUCAGUGCGAAGUAGGUGUUGACUCAGAUUUUCGAAUUAGAUCGGAUGAUUAUCUGAUGUUCCGGGACAGGGUAUGUAUACCGAGAAAUGAUGAGUUAAUUCGGACAAUUUUAUGUGAGGCACACAGUGGUGAUUUGUCAGUUCACCCAAGUAAUGUGAAAAUGUAUAAUGAUUUGAAGAAAUUGUAUUGGUGGCCGAGCAUGAAAAAGGAUAUCUCUGAAUUUGUAUCAAAGUGUUUAAUUUGCCAACAAGUGAAAGCUGAGCAUCAAGUACCAUCGGGUUUACUCCAACCGGUAAUGAUUCCAGAGUGGAAAUGGUACAGCAUCACGAUGGAUUUUGACACAGGAUUACCUCUAUCUCCAAGGAAGAAGGAUGUUAUUUGGGUGAUCGUUGAUAGAUUGACAAAGUCGGCUCAUUUUAUACCGGUACGCAUAGAUUACUCACUUGAUAGGUUGGCGAAGCUAUAUGUUGCUGAAAUUGUGAGAUUGCACGGGGUGCCUUCUAUUAUAUCGGAUAGAGAUCCGAGGUUUACUUCGAGGUUUUGGAUAAAGUUACAAGAGGCCCUAAGUACAAAAUUGAACUUUAGUACUGCAUUCCAUCCGCAAAUCGACGGACAAUCUGAAAGAGUGAUUCAAGUUCUUGAAGACAUGCUCCGGUGCUGUAUUCUAGAAUUUGAAGGCAGUUGGGAGAAAUAUAUACCAUUGGUUGAAUUUGCUUACAACAAUAGUUAUCAGUCGAGUAUACGAAUGGCACCGUACGAAGCAUUAUAUGGACGUAAGUGUAGAACACCUUUGUAUUGGACUGAGCUCAGUGAGAAUCAGAUUCACGGAGUUGAUUUGGUGAAAGAAACUGAAGAAAAGGUGAAAGUAAUUCGUGACUGCUUAAAGGCUGCUUCAGAUCAACAAAAGUCAUAUGUGGAUUUAAAGAGAAAAGAAAUUGAGUUUCAAGUGGGUGAUAAAGUGUUCUUAAAAGUAUCUCCGUGGAAGAAGAUUUUGAGAUUUAGCCGUAAAGGCAAAUUGAGUCCACGUUUUAUUGGACCGUAUGAAGUUAUUGAAAGGAUUGGACCCGUAGCUUAUCGGUUAGCCUUGCCAGCAGAGUUGGAAAGAAUACAUAAUGUAUUUCACGUAUCGAUGUUGCGACGCUAUCGUUCAGAUCCUUCACAUAUAGUUUCUCCUACAGAGAUUGAAGUUCGACCAGAUAUGACUUAUGAGGAGGAACCAAUAAAUAUUUUAGCUCGAGAGGUCAAACAAUUAAGGAAUAAGAGUGUAGCUUUAGUAAAAAUGUUGUGGAAAAAACAUGGGAUGGAAGAGGCUACGUGGGAACCGGAGGAAGCUAUGAGGAAAUAGUACCCAAACCUCUUUUCCGGUAAGAUUUUUAAGUUCGAAAAUCCCUAAGGGGGGAGAAUUAUAACAGCCCGAUUCUGGGCCUAGUCGGAACAGUGGUUUCGGAACCACAAAUCUGACAAGGGAAAAUAUGGUUAUUAUUAUAUUUUUAUGGUCUACAAUUCCACGGAAAAAUUUCGUAAAAAUUUCGUUCGAAAAUUUCGACGUUUGGGCACUCCAUUUAAUCAAAAGGACUAAAUUGUAAAAAGUGCAAAAGUUGAGUUUUACAUGUUAGAAGUGUCUAAUUGUUAUAAAAUUAUAAAUUUGGGGUCCUUAUGUGGGAAUUAGACUAUUAGUUAAUUGAUGGAAAAAAAUAGACAUAAGAAAUGAGUGAAAUAGAUUUUUUUUAAAUGGGGGUAUUUUGGUCAUUUGGUAAUAAAAAGAAUAAAAAGGGAAAAAGAUGACAAAAAUCAUCAUCUUCUCCAUAGUGAACGAAAUCAGCAAGGGGGAAGCCAUAUUUAGGGUUUUCAAGCUUCCAAGAUCCAUAGCAAGUGAUUUCAAGCCCCGUUUUUAAUGUUUUUCGCAUUUUUGGAAUCCCCGUAGCUCGGUUUAGCUUAUUUUAUCAAUAAUUCAUGUUAGGGUUCAUAUUUGGAAAAAUACCCACAUGUGAAAUGUGUUUAUUUUGCUGUUUUAUGGUGGAAUAUGAAGCUAGAAUUUAUGUUAAACAACUUUUGCUCAGUGAUUUUAAGCAAAAACGAGUAAAUCGACAUAAUCGGUAAAAAUAUUUAUUGUUCAUAAGUGUAUGUUAGAGUGAGAAUUUGAUGUUUCCAUAGAAGGGAAAAGUGUUCAGCAUGUUGUAAAACAGAAGAAUAAGGUGUGAAAUUUAAUUUUUGAGCUUGGGGACAAAGAUGUAAUUAUGCAAAAGUUUAAGGACAAAAUUGUAAUUUCUAUAAAAUUUGAGUCGAAGCUUGUUUUAAUAAAUGUGAAUAUUAAACAAGAUCAAUUUGCUAUUAUAGAUCAAGAAAGACGAGAAAUCAACCUUAAUCAGGGAAAAGAGAAGAUUGAGGAUUAAAUUGCAAAAUCUUUACAUUUUGUAUCGAGGUAAAUUGUAUGUAAUUAAUACAUUGUUAUAAUUAUUUUUGUUAUAUUUCAUGACAAUAUACGUGAAAGGAUCGAUAUUAUAAUGUGUUUUGGACAAAUUGUAAAUAUAUUUGGAAAGUAAGAAUCUUUGUGAAACUGUCGUAAUGGUAAAAAAAUUUGAAUAAGGAUAUCGAUGAACAAGUGUGUAGUACUGUGUGAAGGCUACUACGUGUAUCGAUAAAUAAUGGUCACAUGUGUAGUACUAAGUGAAGGCUACUAUGUGUACCGAGAAGUUUUGAGCACGUGUGUAGUACUUUGUGAAAGCUACUACGUGUAUCGGUAAACUAUGGUUACAUGUGUGGUACUAAGUGAAGGCUGCUAUGGAUACCGAAAAGCUUUGGUCACGUAUGUAGUACUAUGUGAAGGCUACUACGUGAACUGUAAAACUGAUCACGUGUGUAGUACUAUGUGAAGGCUACUACGUGUAUCGAAUGAUAAAAAUAAUAUGAGUAGUACUGUGUUAAAAGCUCUGAAUAUUAUUUUUUUAUAAUGUAUGACGAUGAAAUAUGAGUAUGAGAUCGGAAUGUGAUAAGUUGUGAAAAGUGAUUGAAGUGAUGAAGUUUGAGUUGUGUUAUAAAAUAAAUGGUUAUAGUGCUAUGUGAAUAAGGAAUGUUGGAAUAGAACAGAUUUGGACAGUGACGGUGAUGUUAGUUUGAAAAAUCACCAAAAAUUAUAAAAAUUGAGUUAGAGGCUGAAUCAUAAACGAAAUUGAAGCUGAAUGAGUCUAUUUUCAUAUGGAAGAAACAGAGUAAGCAAAGGAGUUGUAUAUUUGGGGAUAUUUAAAUUUUAUUGAGACAAGGUUGGAUUGAUUUCGAAAUCCCCUGUUCCAAAUUUAGAAAAUCACAAAAAAUUUACAAAAAUAAUUAUGGUUUGAAAUUUACAUUUUUGAAUUCCUUAAUGAGUUUGUUUUUAAGAUAAAGAAAUGAGAACAUUUUUUUAAUUUUGUACAAAGAUUUAAAUAAAUUUUAGUAUGGAGAGGUCAGAACUGUAAGGCAGUGAAAUAGGGGAAGGUUUAAAGAAUAAAAUGUACUAAUUGGAUGAACCAAAAAUUCUUAAAAUUUUAUGGUGGAAAGGUAUAUGAGUUUAGUUUCAUGGAAAAUUUACAGAUCUUAAUUUGGAGUUCCGUAUCUCUAGAUCAAAAUAAUUUAGCAACUGUGACGCAGAAAAACAAUUUGCUGGAAAUUGAAUGAAUGAUAGAUUUAUGUGUGAUAGAAAUUUUAUUAUAUAUGAUAUUAUUCUAGAAAUUUAUUUAUUGAUUACAUACAUACUUUCUAAUCUGUAAGCUUACUCAUCUUUAUUUUUCUUUUGUUUUAUAGUGAUAUUAAUCAGCUCGGGAAUUGGACGGAGUCAGGACAUCAUCCUCACUAUCAUCAUCAUCUUUUGUGUAUUUUGCAACCAAUACUUUUGAAAAAUGGCAUGUAUAGAUGACUUUAUGUAAUGUGGUAUAAAUAUGUAUAUAUAUAGUAUUGCUCGAUUAAAUAUGUUGGAGUUUAUUAAUGGAUAAAUUAUGUUUGAAUAUAUAUAACUGUAAUUGGUUGGAAAUAUUGAAGUUGGUUGAAAUUGUCUUUGGAAAUCUGCAGGGGGUUUUAUGUAAAAAUAAGCAGAAAUGCUGCCGAAAUUUUUAUAAAAAAAAAUUUAAGUGUUUGAGUUCUAGUAAUACCUCAUACUCUGUUUCGGUAAGGAACUCGGGUAAGGGGUGUUACAUUUUAGUGGUAUCAAAGCUAUGGUUUAGCCGGUUCUUGGAUUAGUAUAAUGUGUGUAAAAGUAUAUUUAUACAUGCCAUUUAAAUAUUGUGAUAGUGAGAUGAUUUCUGACAAUUUAAAAUUUUAUUUUAUAUAGUAAAUGGAUCCUGACUGAAGUGUGGCAGAUGAUGUUGAAAGUAACGCGUCGGCUCCCGCACAAGGGACCGCGCAUGAAGAAAGUAGACAUGAGACACAUAGUCAGGAUGAGGCUCGGGAAACUUUCCUUCGAAUGAUGAGUAAUUGGUAUACAGAAUUUGUUCGUGCAAAUCCGAAUGUUCAACCCCCUCCACCCCCUCCUAUUCCUCAACCGGUUCUCGCAGCUCCACAAAAUGUUGACUUGGUAAGAUCAAGUAGGCCUCCCGUUGACAAAAUCCGAAAGCAUGGAGCUGAAGAUUUCAAAGCUAAUAUAGAUGAUGACCCACAGAAGGUAGAGUUUUGGCUUGAAAAUUCCAUUUGGGUAUUUGAUGAAUUGUCUUGUACUCCCGAAGAAUGUUUAAAGUGUGUAAUAUCUUUGUUAAAAGAUUCAGGGGGUUUUAUUUAAAAAUAAGCAGAAAUGCUGCCGAAAUUUUUAUAAAAAAAUUUAAGUGUUUGAGUUCUAGUAAUACCUCAUACUCUGUUUCGGUAAGGAACACGGGUAAGGGGUGUUACAUAGGAGAUUCAAAGGAUCAGGAAAAUUCAUGUAACUAGACAUACAUGCAAUCUUGCAUUCAUUGUAACUUGCUCUUCAUGCAUUUAGCUCCUUCAUUAAUAUGUUUUUAUUUUGGUAGCCACUCCUUGGCCGAAUAGGUGCUUGGGGAAGUGAACAAUCAGCUCAAGAUUCUUUGAAUAUGGCCAUGCAUGUACUAUCCAAUUCAUUGAACCUAAUGUGCAUGAAUCUUGAUUAAAUGCACCCUAAAUUUGACUCACCUACAAGAACAAAUGAACCAAAAUUAAUUCACAUAAAAUUCAGCUGAACAUGCAUUAAUAUAAUUUUAGACACACUAAUUAACAUAAUAAUUAACUUAUGCCAAAUUUAUUAUUAUCUUAACAAGACAAAUUAAAUUCGGCAUUGACUAAGACAUAAUAAAAACUUGUAAUAGCUAAGAACAUAUUAAUGAGUUGUAAUAAUACUUUCUAAUUUAUUUUAAAUAAUUAAUUUAUUCCAGCAAGUAAAUUUAGUGAGCUAAAAAAAUCUAAUAACGAGCUCAAUGAGCUAAAUUGAGCUCGUGUGAGUUGACUUGAGCUCGAAUGAGCUAAACCACAUGGAAAGUAGUUUGAUUGAGCUGAAAAUGAGCUUUUCGAGCUUUGUUUGGGCUAGGUUGAGCUUUCAAGGAUGGCGAGCCUCGCUUUGUAAGCUGAACCACGAGCAUUCCUGGCCAGGAUCGUAUCAUCUAUGAAGACAUCUUAACCCAGAGAUACUUAGAUCCCAUUUAAAAAGUCAUCACAAGUCGGUUGAUUUUCCAAACUUGAUAAUUGACAAUUUCGGUGAAUGAAAUUUAAUAAAUUUCAUUCCAUCUGUGCAUGUAUCAGAGCAAGUAAGUGAUUCACUCUAAGGCGACACAAUAUAUCCCUCCUAAAAACACCAAAAAGUAUCAAAAUUCUGUGCUCAAAGGCAACAUAUCACUGCCAUCCAAACACAUCAGAGAUCACCGAAGUGCUGAUCCCGAAGACAACAUAUCACAUCCCUCCAAAACACACUAGAAAGAACCAAGGUGUUAGGCCUAAAGGAAACAAAUCACAUCCUUAUUGGCAUGAAACUUGUAUCGUAACAUUUUCACUAAGUUUACUAUGACUCAUUAUAAUAAAAGGCACCUAUCUUGUAACACCCCUCAGUCGUCACUGUCAUUGGAUUAGGGUUAAAGAUGCUAUGAUAAUUAAUAGGAGAAACACAUGCUAUUUCAAUUCAAAAUUUAUCUUUAAACUAACACCAAUAUAUAACUAGACAAUAAUCAAGCUAUUCAUAAAAAACGAGGCUUAAAUCGAGGUUCUAAAACUCUAAAAUCAAUUCAGAAAUAAGAAGGGACUAAUUCGAAACAAAACAAAAAGUAAGGUAAAAAUAUAAAACAAGGGUCACAUGGUUGUGUAACAAGUUUGCCGUGUGUGCUAUGGGAUAUGGUCUUGUUGUUCAACUGUAUGUGAGGACUAAAACCGUGUGGAAGGAGACACACGACUGUGUCUUCCAACCGUGCGACUAACUAUGGCCGUGUGUGAAAAAUGAAAACUAAAACUACACAGACCACAUAACCUUUCCAAGAACCUGUGUAUGGCACACAGCCGUGUUUCAGCCUGUGUGAGCUGCAAUGUACCUUCAAUAACAAGUCAAUCAUUUCAUGCUUAUUUAAGCUACAAGUAUACCAUUUACCAAUCAUUCAACCUAUUCAAAUCACACCAAAAAAUUACUAAAACAUGCAAUUUGCCUAGUUCUAACCAAUAUGCCUUAGGGCACUGUCACAAGCAACAAUCCAAACUAACAUCCAGUGUCAUUUUCUAACCAAUUUAAGCUUGCCUAACAAUGUUAUACAAAAUGCCAAAUAUCACCAAUUCAUUCACACCCAACAAAACGUAUAUUAAAGUGUAUAUAUUGGCAUGUAUCCAACAACAACCAUACCAAUUCACCUAAUCAACUAAAACAUCUCAAAUCAACAAUCAAAGUACUAACCAUUAAACAAGUAACCAAAGACCAACUAAACAUAUAUGGCAUUCAAUAUUCCAUCAACCAUGCAAUUAACCAUUUAAACCCAUUUCAACUAUUUUAUCUUCACAUACCACAUCAACCAUAAUCAACCACAUCAUUAUAUUAACAAAUUCACAUGGCUAGGAAAUCUCAAACAUACUUUAAAUACAUCAGACACUUAUGUACAUAACUUCAGUCCUAUUGCAGUUCUAUUACAUGCCACAUAUCCCAAAAUAUAUGUUUUCAAAGUCUACAGAAAGAUAGCUGGAUAGUAUGAUCCUCAACUUGAUCCGAUUGCCUAAUUCCACAAAAUGAUAUCUACAAGAGAACAGGAAAAAAAACAACAUGAGUAAGCUUCAAGGAGCUUACUAAGUUCAUAAGUUGAAACAAUAUAAAUUACCUUGAAAACAUGUUUAAUAAUUAACAAACUCUUUAACUAAUAUUAACUCUAUCAACCACAAGCAUUCAACAGGCGAGGUUCAUAUACAUGAGUCGUUUAAUCAUCCCAUUUGUACGAUAUCAAACAUUAUCAAGCCACAAAAUAAUAUCUAAAAUCAUGAAAACUUAUACAAGUAAUUAAUAAGGCAUCAUAACCAAACAUCAAUUACAUAUCAUCACCAUGUCAUUUAACCAUUAAAAAUUUGCCUGAUGACCGAUAAAACAGAUACGGAUACGCGGUUAUCCACCAAAGACACGCUAAAAUGCUCAACUAAGCCAAUCUAACCAAGAACACGCCUGGACACCAAGUGGCUAGCCCGUAGGCUAACAUCCCUCUAGAAACACAAUUGGGCACCAAAUUCCAAGCCCGUAGGGCAACACCCCUUACCCGAGACCGUUACCAGAGUCGAGCACGAGGUGUUACCUGACUUAACUUACUAGUUCGGAGCAUAAAAAAAGUUUCUUUUAAAAUUAAUUCACUCACAUUCAAUCAAUAUGUCCCUAAAAAGGAUCAUCGAGACCCUUAAACAUGCAAUAGAAACGGUUCGGGUCCAAACUGGGAACAUUAAAAAUUUUCCGAUUACUUAAACAAAUCAAAAUAAUUUAUUUCACUAUUCACAAUAAAACUGUCCACCUGCGCAGCAGUCACUAAAUUAAAUAUAACUCAAGUUAAAAAACUCAAAAUUUAGAUCGGUAAAUUUUAUCCAAAACUAGACUCAUAUACCUUCUUAUCAUAAAAUUUUCAGAAUUUUUCGGUUGGCCGAUUAGUACAGUUUAUUAGUUAAAGUCUUCUCUGUUUCACUGUUUGACUGUCCUGACCUCUCAUCACUAAAAAAUAGUUAUCUCAUUUUAUAGUCUUCAUAUGGUGCUACCACUUGUUUCUACUGAAAAUAAACUCAAUAAGGAAUCAAAUCAUAUGAAUUAUAACUUCUAAUUAUUUCUGUACAAUUUUUAAUGAUUUUCUAAAUUUAGAACAGGGGACUUCAGAAUCCAUUCUGACCCUAUCUCACUAAAAUUCAAAUAUCUCAUAAUAUAAAAUUCCUUUACUGCACUGUUUCUUUAAUAUGAAAAUAGACUCAAUAAUAUUUAGUUAUAUAGCUCAUUAACUCUCUAAUUCCUCUCCUACUAAUUUUUGUGAUUUUUCAAAAUCACGUUACUGCUGCUGUUCAAAAACUGUAUCAUUGCAAAUUUUUACUCUUUUAUAAUUUUUUGGUAUUAACCAACAUUUAAACAUCCAUAAUACCAAACUUGUUUUUAAUUAGCCAUUUCAAUAGCAAAUCAUUAGCCAUAUCAUAUGAACACGCUCAAAAUGACUAAGUCCCUAUACAUGCCAUAACUUUACACGUUUCAAAAUCACAUAAUACCGAGAUAUCUGUAGAUAGUGUGAGACGAACUCCGACGUCUUUGUGAUCCCCGAACUGACUUGGUGAUACUAUAAAAGAAAGAAGUAAAAUAAAGGAAGUAAGCAUAAAGCUUAGUAAGUUUACAAGUAAAUAAAUAACAACAUUUGUCACAAAUAAUUGUAUUCAUAAAUUAUCAUCAAGUCUCAUGAUCUUUACUUUCUUCUUUACUUACUCCCUUACUUGCUUGCUUAAACAACUCAUGGUUAUAACUUACUUCUUCCUCGCUGAAAUUUCUUUUCUCAACUGAUAACUGAGAUACUCUUAAUCUUUAUAUCUCACCUUAACUUGUCUAUUAUACUUUUACCUAAACUUUCAUGUAACAUAGUCUAUUUACUAGCCCGUUGAACCACUUGGAAUACUAAGGAUACUCGGGUCUCCUGUCUGAUAAUAACAUGCCAAAGCUAUGUCCCAAACAUAGUCUUACAUGGGAUGUUUCUUGUACUGCCAAUGCCAUAUCCCAGAUAUGGUCUUACAUGGGAGUUCUCAUAUAGGUGCCCAUGCCAUGUCCCAGACAUGGUCUUACGGGGGACCUCUCAUCUCGGUGCCAACGCCAUGUCCCAGACAUGGUCUUACAUGGGACCUCUCAUAAUCUCAAUGAUGCCAAUGCCAUGUCCCAGACAUGGUCUUACAUGGGACCUCUUUACCCAUAUGUCAUGACAUUUGUAUCCAAUACAUUCCUCAUGUUUCAACGGGGCCUUUUAACACUGAUUCUCUGUCAUCUCAUACUUGAGUUAACAUUAGAUAUUUUCAUAAAAUAAAUACAUAAUUGCUGAAAAAUAACAACAUUAAUAAUAAUUAUCAAAAUAUUUCAUUUAUUUACCUUAAACUUACCUCGGUACAAAAUAUGAUCAAAUCUAGCACUUUAGUCUUCAACCUUUUUCUUUCCCCAGUCCAACUCCAGAUUUUGUUCUUCUUGAUCUAUAAUAGAAAAUUUAGCUUAUUUAAUACUCACAUUCAUCAAAACAGUCCUUAACUCAAACUUUAACAAAAUUACGUUUUUGCCCCUAAACUUUUACAUAUUUACACUUUUGUCCCAAAGCUCGGAAACUAAACUUCAUCCCUUAUUCUUAUGUUUUAUGACAUUCUGAACAUUUUUCCCUUCUAUGGCAACAUCAAAUUCUCACUCUAACACUUAUGAACAUUAGGUAUUUUUACCGAUUAUGUCGUUUUACUCGUUUUCACUUAAAAUCACUUAGCAAAAGUUGUUUAACAUAAUUUCAAGCUUCAUAUUCUACCAUAAAACAUCAAAAUAAACACAUUUCACCUAUGGGUAUUUUUCCAAAUAUGAAUCCUAGGUUAAAUUAUUGUUAGAAUAAGCUAAAUCAAGUUACCGGGACUCCAAAAACGUAAAGAACAUUAAAAACGGGGCUAGAACAGACUUACAAUCGAGCUUGGAAGCUUGAAAAACCCUAUCCAUGAUUUCCCCUUGUGAAAUUCGGCCAUGGGGUUGAAGAUGGACAAAAAUUGGCUUUUAAUUUUGUUUUUAAUUCAUUUUAAUAACUAAAUAACCAAAAUGCCCUUAAUGAAAAACUUUGGAAACAUGCCUAACCAUGUCCAUUUUUGUUAACCAACUUAACCAAUGGUCUAAUUACCAUAUAAGGACCUCCAAUUUAAAAUUUCAUAACAAUUGGGCACCUCUAACAUGUAGAACUCAACUUUUGCACUUUUUACAAUUUAGUCCUUUUGACUAAAUUGAGUGCCCAAACGUCGAAUUUUUCGAACGAAAUUUUCACGAAAUCAUUUUGUUAAAUCUUAGACCAUAAAAAUAUAAUAAAAUAAUUUUUUUCCUCAUUAGAUUUGUGGUCCCGAAACCACUGUUUCGAGUAGGCCCAAAAUUAGGAUGUUACAUAACCAAUGGUGUAAUUACCAUAUAAGGACCUCCAAUUUAAAUUUUCAUAACAAUUUGACACCUCUAACAUGUAGAACUCAACUUUUUUACUUUUUACAAUUUAGUCCUUUUUACUAAAUUGAGUGCCCAAACGUCGAAAAUUUCACAAAAUCAUUCCGUGAAAUCGUAAACCAUAAAAAUAUAAGAAAAAUAAAAUUUUCCUCAUCGAAUUUGUGGUCCUGAAACUAUUGUUCCGACUAGGCCCAAAAUCGAGAUGUUACAGGUAGGCUUUACAUCCGCCCCCAGAAACACACUAGAAUCACUGUAAAUAUAACUCGACAAUCCUCAACAAAUGCUAGACUCUGGUAUAUUUAGUAUACAAUAACAAGUUAAGAAUUAUCAUGUAACAACCCGUUUUUAGUGGUGUUAAAAAUAGUGGUUUCGGGACCAAAAAUUCGACCAAUGAGACCGUAAUUAUUAUUUAAUUCAUAUGAGUCAAAUAUAGUUUUAUAUUGAAUUUUGAUUUGAUAAAUUUUUACUAAUUGAACAAAUAGUUAAGUAUAAGUGGGUUGUCUUUAAGUAAGUGGUUUUGGAAAAUGAGAUAUCGGGACCUUGUUUUUGUAAAUCGAGCCCGUAGAUAUUUUUAUUAAAUAUUUGCAGAGCUAUUAUAUUAGUAUGUGAAGGUUCAGUUUGAGAAUUUUAAUGUUUGGUUAGUUAAUUAAAGAAAAAAGACUAAGUUAUAAAAGACGUAAAACUUCAUCAUUAUUUAUUAUUAUUAACUUAAGUGCAUAAAUAAGGUAUGUUUAAGGAUUUAUAAGGCAAAUAUACCAUUAUUUAUUUAGUGUGGAUGAUUUGUAAACAUUUUAUUACAUUUCAUUCAUUAAAUUAAAAGUUAAAGUAAAAUAAAACAAAGUAAACUGCAUAUCAUCUUUUUGUUUUGAGCUUCCACCGAAAACCAACCUAAGAACCUUCAUUGAUGAAGCUUUUAGUUCGGUGAGACAAGGUCCUUGCAUGUAAGUGCAUUUUUAUUUUAUUUUUCAUUAUUUUUAUGUUUUUGAGAUCAUUGUAGCUUAAUCUAGUUAACAUAGAGACUAUUUCGUAAAACUGUUAAAGAUUUUGAAAAUUUUCAUUAAUGAAUUCAAGGUGUUCUUGAGAUUAAAUGAUGAGUUAGUAAACUUGGUUGUUGUAUAACUCUUUUGUAAAGGAAUUUUUUAUAGUUUUGAACCUAGGGAUUAAUAUGAAAUUAUGUAAAAAUUCAACAUGUAAAUUUGUGAAAUUUAUAAGUGUUAAAGGCUGGUUUGGGAUUAUGUUAAAUUCUAUUUUGGAGAAUUAGGGGUUAAAUGUGAAAUUUUAAUCAUUUCGAUUUUAAGGACUAAAUUGAACAAAGUGUAAAAGUUUAGGAAAAAAUUGUAAAAUGAAAUUUAUAGGUCAUGUGCUUAGAAAUGGGUUUGAUAGUGCAUUGGAAAUUGAUAAAGUGAAUUUGAUCAUUUUAUAGAUCAAGGAUUGAACUGUGUGGAGGAAAAUCGGUGAAAAGGAAAAUCAUAGAUUAGUCCCUACAAAUCUACUUAAUAGCUGAAUGUACUAGGUAAGUUCAUAGUAUAGAUAAAUAUAUAUUCGUUUAUAACUUGUGCUAUUAUGAUUUGAUUUAAUUGUAUUUGAUGUAAGUUUUGAUUAUAAAUUGAAAUUAUAAAUUGUUGUAAAUAAGUACAGGAUAGAAAGUGAAUAUUUGGUACUUGUUAAACAUUUGAGAAAUAUGAUUUUUAUGAUUUUGGAAUGAACUUAGUUGUUUGGAAACAUGAGUAUGAAUGUAUUUAUUAAAGUGCCUCUGAAUUAUUAAAGGUGGUAAAUUCUAUUAGAAUGUUUAUUUGAACAUAGUAAACGAUUAGGAUACGAUUGGCAUGCCAAUAGGAUUUAAACAGGUGCUUGUCUGGGUUUACACUUCGGCGCCUCUGUUAUCAUUUUGAUGCUCUCUGAUGUGAUAUGGUUACUUGAGUAUCUGAGUCAUGUUACUAUAGUUCAUCAGGCUAUGAAAAUUUGUGAUUAAUCCUAUAAUAACUUGAUUUUUCUAGUGUUUAUCCAUUAGAAGGUUUGUAUUAUUGUAUAAUCAUACAAGAAUCUUUUAUGUUGAUAUUGAUGCAAUAAAAUGUAUAUAUAUGAAGAUUUUUUAUUAAACCAUUGAUGAGCAUGAAGUAUAUAAUGAACUAUUUCAAUACUAAUUCUAUGUGUUCUCGUAAAUGAUUGUCAGGUUUAAUUAAUCUAGUUAUUUUAAUUUUCAAAUGUUUAAUUGAGGUAAGUUGAUUUGAAUUUUAGCUACAAACUUACUAAGCUACUUAAGCUUACUCGAUUUGUUUUUGUUUUCUAUAGUUAACGUUUUGCAGAACUGGUUGGAACUAUCAACUUCAAAGUUCACACUAUCAAACUCUUGUUUUGGUAGUUUUUGAUUUGUUAUCUUCGAUUUUGUGGCAUGUAUAUAGGUUUUUGAAGUUGAUGAAUUUAAAGCUCUAGUGGUUUUGUAAUGUGGUUAAAGUUGGUAUAUAAUGUUAAGUUUCAUGUUUCAUGAUCAACUUGUGAUGAAUAUGGUAAAACUAAUUAGGUAUAUCAUAUUGGUUCUAUUUUGUGAGAUGAUAAUUUGUGUCAUUUGAAUGGUAAACAUGACUUUAGUAUUUGGUAUCUAGAAAUGGUAACUUGUCAUUUGAUGUCUUCUUUGGAGAUUUGUUGUUAAAAUGACUAUUUUAUUCUGGUAAUCUUUUCGAACUUUGGUUAGGAUAUAUUAACAUUAGAAAGUUUUGUAUAAAUGGUUGAUUAUGGGAUAUGUUAUUUGGAAUUUAUUUGAUGAUUGAAUAAGGUUAAUUUUUUUUGUUAUUGUUUAUAUUGAAAUGUGGUGCCAAUGAGGACGUAUUGGUUAAACAUAUAGGUUGAAUGUGAAUUAGUAUAUUUUGGUACAUUUUUUAAUAAGUUAAUGUGGUGGUAAAUGCAUGGCUUGGUGUCUAAGAAAUUGUAGGUGAAUCGUCUUGUGUUUGAAGGUAUUUUGGGUACACAUGGUCUGGGACAUGAUUUGCCACACGGAUGUGUAUCCCACAUGGUUGCAUGACACAACCAUGUGGCCUCUUUGAUUUUUGCUGCAGGUUUGUUCACAUGGUCAAAGUUUGUUACACAGCUUAGGGGCACGACCGUGUGACCCAGGUAUACAUGGUCACAAUGAGUCACACAGCUUGACCAUACAGUCAUGUUCUUGAGCCACACAGGCUGAGCUCUAUCACAUGGCUUGACGACUUAGUCGUGUGACCACUGUUUUCACUUUUUAAUAAAAAUUUUGUAAAAGUUUUAUUUUAAUCUAGAAUUGAUCCUAGUUUGUUUUAAAUGUUCCAUAAGCUCGAAUUAGGUCCCGUUCUGAUUGAAUAGAAUUCUUAAAAAUAAGAUGACUUAUACUUAGUGUGUUUGAUUUUUUGGGAUAUAGUAAGUAUCUUUUAAUGAACUUAAGGAUUUUUAAAGCCAAGCAUUAGUUGUAUUGCCAUAACAUUAUUUAAAUAGGGGAUAGUAGGCGCUCCACUAUUUAGAAUUGCUAAAUAGGUCAACAUCACUUUGUUUGCUCAAUUGUGCUGUUGAUUAGAAAGGUGAGUCUAAGCAAGAGUGUGUUUCAUGGAAAAAGAAUUAGGGGCACCCCGCUUUAGCAAAAAGGAUUGAGUAGUUAAUGAGGUAGUUGUACGCUCCAUCCAUCUUUUUAGUCAAAAUUUUGAGCUUCAUGGGUGACUUUUGGUUUAAAUUGUGACAUGAUUGAUUACUCGACAAUUCGGUGUAUGCUCUAGUGUGAUUAUCGAGUCUAAGAAAUUUGUGACAUGUUAAAUCCCCUAAUAAUAAUAAUUCAAAAAAAAGCAUGAAUAUGAUUAAUAUAUUCUGAGUAGGCUUAAAGCAACUUAUGUUUAGGUACUAAAUGAACUAAGUAAAUUAAAAGAUAGUUGUUAUAGGCCAAAAGAAAGAAUACAUGAGUACUUAGGAGAGUCUAUGUUUGGGGAGAAAUUUCUAUUCUACCUUUGUUGAGCAACCCUUUGACACUCGAACGAGUUUUAGGAAAAAGGAGAUUGCUAAGAACUGAUGUACUUGGUUUUUUUUUUGAAUAGCCUAGCAAUAUGAGUUGGUUUGGUGCGUUGGCAAAUGUUGGCUUAUAUGCAUUCAUGCAUUCAUAUGUAUCUUGCUUGAGGACAAGUAAUAACUUAGGUUUGGGGUGUGAUAACUCUUGAAAAGGGUUAUAUUUCAUGUCUUCAAACCUAGUUAAUUGCUUAUACUUAAGUACAUCUAGUUGCAUUUUAGGACAUUUCAUUAGUAUUUUUAGCAUUGCAUUAGAACUUAGGCUGUGUUUAAAUAUUAGGUACUUUUAAUUACUUGUAGAAAGGUUGUGUUUUGUGGUACUGGUAGGUGCAGGAUGAGGAACAAGAAAUAAAUAAGUGAAGUUUUGUCGAGGCAAAAAGGUGGUCAUAUUGCUAACUAUAUGUUGUGGCAAUGCUGGGAAGGUGUCCAGACAGCAUUCAACGUAUAUCAGUUUCAGCCCAACUUUAAUUGUACCAGAUAAAUCUGCCUAGAAAAGAGGAGAAGAUAAAUCUUGGGUUGUUGGAAUUAUCCUAAAAAAGAGAAAAAAAAUUUAAAAAGAAAAGGAGGAAACCCUAGAGAGCGAACAGAAGGUAAGAUCCUUAGUCGAAAUAGAAGGUAGCGGCUGAAUAGAGAUAGGAAAAGGAAAAACGAAGGCAAUCCCUCUUAGCCACCUCAGGACACUACGCAGCUGGAGUGUGGAUUGGACAAGCGAAUGUUGUAUUUCCAACAUUCUUCCAUUAUUUCUAAUAUGUUCCUUUGAGAAUAACAGUGAUGAAAAUGAUGUUUGAGUUGAAUUUUACUUGCCAACCUAUAAGCUAGAUCUCAUAGGGUUGGGAUUCCUUUGAUAAAACUUUAACUGUCUUCAAUGGCUACAAUAUAAAUUUGAAUUAUUUUACUAUUUCAUUCAAUUGUUUUAUUCUUUAAUUUGAAUGUAAGCAAUCUUUAGACAUGUCGACUGUGCAGCAUACCCUUAAAUUAAUCUAAGUUCUGAAAAUGUUAGAUUAGUUAGACCGUGGUUGAAUGACAUGAGCAAGUACUCAAAAGAUACUUGCAGUAAACUCUAAAAAUAGAGUAGCGUUUGAUGCGAUCCGGCUCGGUUGAUUGAGUCGAUUCACUUGAUUGCCCGAUCGUCGACGAGAAGUUUUCAUUUUGAUGUCGUAUGCAAAUUGAGUUAUGGAGAUGUAUAAGCGGAAGCAGGCAAUUUGGGUUCAAAAAAUGGCUUGGAUUGAUUUUUUUAUAGGUUCGGUUUAAUAAAGAAAUAAUUUAUAAAGUGAUAUAUAAAAUGGAAUGGAAAUUGAACUCAAGCUUCAAGAAUGUUUCAAUACUAAAAAGUAUUGCCCCGAAUCUUAUAUUGCUUAAGGUGAAUUUUGAUGAAGGAUAGAAGAUGACCAUGACCCGUUACCUAUACGGAGGUAAGAACCAAAGGUAUAAUAAUAUGGUUGAACGCUACACCGGUUCGGUGAUAAGUUCAAUGGAGUUCGGAUUGACGCCACUAGCAAGCUAGAUAAGUCGCUUCGAGACUCGAACGAAAGAAGAGAUGAGGUAACCUCUCAAGAACAAAAGUUCUAUUAAGUUUAAUUGAUCAAAUUCUGUAGUGUUUUACAAUAAACAAGUCAACUAUUUAUAGGAAAAGACUAAGCUAGCCGAAUAGCCACAUACAUCCUUAGGAAUUAAGCAAAUGAAUUCAUCUAAUGGUCUUGCUAAAUUCGACUGAACAUGGACAGCUUCUAGAAUGAACAUUGAUUAUUGGAAAAUUUGGGAAGGUGCAUGGAAGAGCUAGGUUCGGCCAAUGAGCUUAAAUAAGCUCAUAUAAGAUGCAAUUUUGGCUGAAAAGUGACCAACAAUUAAUAGAAAAUUGGACAGCCAUUUGAAGUGUGAAUGCUCAGCUUUGAAGAGUCCUUGAGUAUGAACACCAUGAACCGAACAGCCAAAAUGAAUCCAGCAAUGUGAAAGAAAUAAAUGGCAGCUUUGGAGUAGGAAACAUCAUCUCCUUUGGCCGAAUAGUCACAAAGGAAAAGUCAAAAAUCAGCACACCAUUUUAAUUGCAUUCCAUGCAUGUAUUGCCAAAUACAUGGAAUCCAACGUGCAUGCAUCUUUUAAAUGCACUCCCACAUUCAGCCAACCUACAAAAGGAGAAAAUGAACUUAAAUUAAUUUGUAUUCAGCUGAAACAUAAUUAAAACAUAAUCUGGACAAUUUAAAUUCACAUAAUUAAAACAAAACACAAUUAAUUAAAUUAAGACCUAAUUAAUUCGGUUAGGACAAAACACAUUGAAAACAUGCAAUAAAACAUAUUUAUAAGCUGUAGGAAUUAAGAUGACUUAAUAACAUGUAAGAAAACACAAUUAACAUGCAUAAUUAAAAUCGUCUAGAUUUAAGACCAAUUAAACAACAAAAAUUAAUUGAGCUGUAUAUAACUAAAUUAACUAACUCAAUAAUUAUUUCGGCAACUAUAUUAUCGCAUAAAUGGAAUUAAGCUAGAUUUUAGCUGAUUCGAGCUCUUGGAGAUGGAAACGAGCUAAACGGAGCUCAACGAAAUGGAAUUGAACUAAUUCAGCUCGCAUGGGUUUGCAAGCAAUGCUUAAGGAGCUGGUCCAAAACUGUGCUCGGGGCGUGGUCGUAUCAUCCCCUCCCUCUUUAAAGCGAUUUGUCCCCAAAUCAGGCAAUUUGCUUGAAAAAAAUCUUCAAUAUUCUGAGAGCCACAAAUAGUUCGGAUUGAAAGAAGCUCAUUCGCAUGCCCUCCCUCUUUAGGAGGGUACCACCUCACAUCGUCACCUAUAAAAGAAUAAAACGAAUUAGUGACACGAUGAAGAUUAAACACAAAGGAACUUUCUGAGAUUUGAUUCACAACUUGAACAAAUAAACCAAUACCGGGGUCAAAAAUAGAAAUCGUUCUUACCUUUUUCUCCGAUGGAAACAAACCUAAAUCACGAGGCAUUUGAUAGCUAUGGUUUUGGAAGUCAACUUUCCAUGGUUCGAUUACCUUAGACAACGAUAUAGAAUGAUGUUCACCGGGGUCAAAGACAAAAUUUUCUCUUGCCAUUUCAAUUUGAUUUGUCAAUUUCAUGACAGACUUCAUAGAAAGAACACUAAGCAACUCAAAAUCAUUAUCAUGCAAAACAUGUUCAGAUCUUUUAAACCACAGUUGAGAACAACCUCCAGAAACAAAAUUUUGAUUUUGACUUAACAAACCAACAAGAUUCACAUGUCUCAUUUUCAAACUUAAAGACAAAGCAUCAUACAAACAAAGAUUGUUUACACAUUCAUUCAAACAAAAUUUACGAUGCUUGCUUUCUUUCAUGAAUGAUUCAUAAUAACAAACUCCAGGAUUAAACACAUGAUUUUGGCUACUCGAUCCAAAUGGUAAGAAGAGUCUUUUUAUCUCCAACAAUUUACACAAAUUAAACAACGAGGGUGUUAGCAUACUCAAAUUCAAACAAGCAAACCCUUUAAAUUUCAUUCGAAAAGAUUUACGAAAACAUGGAAAUUUCACACCACAAAUUGGAUAAUUCACAUGAUCAACACAACCAAACAGAUAAUAUGUCGACUUUUGAUCACACAAUUUCAGAUCUUGUUGGUGCUGAUUUAUUCGUUCUUCAUCAAAAAUCUUGUCGAUGCCAUACUCAUCAAUACAUUUCCAUUCCUUUUCAACAGGAUUAGUUAAAAUGAACAAUUUAUACGGACUUUCAUCUUGCGCAUCCAAAACAUGCAUUCCAUUGCAAGUUAAAGAUAAACAACCAAUACCAUCAAGAAAAUAAUAUUUUUCAAAAGCAAGAAUCUUCUUAUCGUCAGACAAAACAAAUGGAUCAUCAUCAAUCAAAGAAUGACAAGUAACCAUGUCAAAGUUCAGAUUCUUUCUAAAGACCAAAUCAUCAUCAAUGUGUCCAUCAACAAUCAAAUAAGGCAGAGGUGCUUUAAAAUUUUCAACAUUCAUACCUUGCUUACCUUUUGGCAUAGGCGAACUAGGAUCGUUGAGAACAUUACCUUUUUAAGCCAAAGUGAACCUUCUAUCCAUGGGAAGGUAUUGUAGUCAAAACUUGUCAAUCGAUUCUUUAAAAACCUGAGGAGAGACAACACGAGGAAAUCUCACAUGUUGGUUAAUGGAAACAUUCCUCACUUUUUCUCGUUCGUCUUUUUCUUUCAUUUCUUUUUCUAACUCGUUUUCUCUUCUUUCUUCAAUUUCUUUUUCGAUUUUCUCUUUUUCACAUCCUUUUUCAAUCUCAAUUUCUUUUUUCUUUUUCUCACUCUCACUCUCACUCUCACUCUCAUUUUCUUUUUCAAUUUCUUUUUUUUCUUUUUCACAUGCUAUUUCGAUUUCAUUACAAAAGAAGAAAUCAUCAAAAUCAGAAGCCUUUCGUUGAGAAUAAGAAAAGGUUUCUUCAUACAAAAGACGAUCAUCUCUUUAUGAUAGAUCAUCCGUGGUUGAGUACUUUGAAACACGUUCAUCUCUUCGUAAGCCAUCCGUCUCAGAUGAAUAAAUUGAUGCACUUGUAGAGACAUGUCUACCUUUUCGUUCAUCAUCUCAGAAGGACUCAAACUCGGAGUUUGCUUCUCUUGGUCUCGAACGCCUUGUUGAAUAGAAGUCUUGAUAAGAGUCUCUUGUCAAAUAUUCGUUGGAUGUUCGUCUUCUUGGCACUCUCAAUUCUGCCCUUUCACUUGAAUUAAGUUGUCCUUGUUGGGCUCUUUUCUCCACUCGAUCCAAUCGAUCAUGCAAUUUAUCACAUUUUGAUUUCACCAUUCUACACAUCUCUUGCAUCAAAUAUUGGAAUUCUGUUUUGGAAAAUUCUUCUCGAGACAUGAUUAUUCAUUAAAAGAAGAAAUGUUAAAAGAAUAAUAACAGAAAAUUAGAUACCUCACCACAAAAUCCUCACCAAUUCUCUCGAAAAGGAAAUAAUGAUUUUCACUCGCACUCGUGUUUACACUCAAUUUUUGGCUUUUGUUUUUGAUGUAACUCACUCUUGCCUUUUACCACUCGACCUCGUCUCACAAUUUCGUAAUUCGUCUUGGUAGACUUAAUUUGCUGCUUGAGGGUCGAUUUCAAAAAAAUAGGUAAUAAAGGGAAUAAUGAAAUGGUGUAAGGUAGGCUAAAACAAAACAAAUUUGGUUUAAGGGUGUGGCGUUGGGAAGGUAGAAUAAGUAGAAUUGAAAAACUUCUUGUGAUCGGUACUUACAAGGAUGAGAAAUAAAAUUUCGAUACUUCACUUUUUUUUAAUAUUCGCACUUUUUUAUACUCUCAAAUACAAUAAGAUGACUACAAAUGGAAUCAAAUACAACUUUUUUUAAUUCACAAACCUAAUUCGAAUUCUUUGAUCUUCGAUACUCCUCAUUUUGCAAGCUUUGAUACCAAAUGAUGCGAUCUGGCUCGGUUGAUUGAGUCGAUUCACUUGAUUGCUUGAUCGUCGAUGAGAAGUUUUCCUUUUGAUGUCAUAUGAAAAUUGAGUUAUUGAGAUGUAUAAGCGGAAGCAGGCAAUUUGGGUUCAAAAAAUGGCUUGGAUUGAUUUUUUUAUAGGUUCUUUUUAAUAAAGAAAUAAUUUAUAAUUUGAUAGAUAAAAUGGAAUGGAAAUUGAACUCAAGCUUCAAGAAUGUUUCAAUACUAAAAAGUAUUGCCCCGAAUCUUAUAUUGCUUAAGGUGAAUUUUGAUGAAGGAUAGGAGCGAACCUUGACCCGUUACCUAUAUGGAGGUAAGAACCAAAGGUAUAAUAAUAUGGUUGAACGCCACACCGGUUCGGUGAUAAGUUCAAUGGAGUUCGGAUUGACGCCACUAGCAAGCUAGAUAAGUCGCUUCGAGACUCGAACGAAAGAAGAGAUGAGGUAACCUCACAAGAACAAAAGUUCUAUUAAGUUUAAUUGAUCAAAUUCUGUAACCUUUUACAAUAAACAAGUCAACUAUUUAUAGGCAAAGACUAAGCUAGCAGAAUAGCCACAUAUAUCCUUAGGAAUUAAGUAAAUGAAUUCAUCUAAUGGUAUUGCUAAAUUCGGCUGAACAUGGACAACUUCUAGAAUAAACAUUGAAUAUUGGAAAAUUUGGAAAGGUGCAUGGAAGAGCUAGGUUCGGCCAAUGAGCUUAAAUAAGCUUAUAUAAGAUGCAAUUUUUAGCUGAAAAGUGACCAGCAAUUAAUAGAAAAUUGGACAGCCAUUUGAAGUGUGAAUGCUCAGCUUUGAAGAGUCAUUGAGUGUGAACACCAUGAACCGAACAGCCAAAAUGAAUCCAGCAAUGUGAAAGAAAUAAAUGGCAGCUUUGGAGUAAGAAACAUCAUCUCCUUUGGCCGAAUAGUCACAUAGGAAACUUCAAAAAUCAACACACCAUUUUAAUUACAUUCCAUGCAUGUAUUGCCAAAUACAUUGAAUCCAACGUCCAUGCAUCUUUUAAAUGCACUCCCACAUUCAGCCAACCUACAAAAGGAGCAAAUGAACUUAAAUUAAUUUGUAUUUAGCUGAAACAUAAUUAAAACAUAAUCUGGACAAUUUAAAUUCACAUAAUUAAAACAAAAUACAAUUAAUUAAAUUAAGACCUAAUUAAUUCGGUUAGGACAAGACAUAUUGAAAACAUGCAAUAAAACAUAUUUAUAAGCUGUAGGAAUUAAGAUGACUUAAUAACAUGUAAGAACACACAAUUAACAUGCAUAAUUAAAUUCGUCCAGAUUUAAGACCAAUUAAACAACAAAAAUUAAUUGAGCUGUAUAUAACUAAAUUAACUAACUCAAUAAUUAUUUCAGCAACUAUAUUAUCGCAUAAAUGGAAUUAAGCUAGAUUUGAGCUGAUUUGAGCUCUUGGAGCCGGAAACGAGCUAAACGGAGCUCAACGAAAUGGAAUUGAACUAAUUCAACUCGCAUGGGUUUGCAAGCAAUGCUUAGGGAGCUGGUCCAAAAGUGUGCCCGGGGCGUGGUCGUAUCAGCAUUCAUACAGAAGGAAACAGUGCAGGGUACCAUGUUAAAGGCCUAUAGACAUUGGCAAGGUAACUUGAGGUUUCUGCCUUCGAAAAGAAGCAGACUACUUUAGAACUCUUCUGAGCAGUAGGUUAAGUAUGAUUUUGCUGAGGCAUUGCUGACAGGAAAAGUAGAUUUUUAGUAAUCUCGACCUUCCCACUCAACAUCACAUAACCCUUAUCCUUUGUCGUAGUAUCUUUGCCAUCGCAUCCUUAAUUGUUUAUUUUUCAGUUACAUAUUAUUCAUAUAAUCAUUUUCAUAAUUGACAUUACAUUCCUACUCUCGUUUUGCCAUAGCAUUUUCAAGUAUUCAUUAAUUUCACAUAUUGCAUACAUCAUUAUUCCUUUUAAUUGCCACUGUAUACUUACCAUGGCUUUACCAUAGCAUUAAUUGCAUUUUAUUAUAAUAACUAGACCACUUUAGUGCCUCAAUCCGGUACUCGUGGGAACGAUACUCACUCAUCACUUAAUUAUUUGAACCGAUGUGUAUACUUGCAGAAUUCGCAUAUUAUAUUCACACGUGACAAGAGUCCCAGUAGGAGUGUAACUCUUCCACUGCUCAACCACUGAUGACCAACCGCCACCGGCCAACGAGAUGCCAUCGUCACAGCCACCAACAUCGCCGUGUCUAGUGAUGCAGGUCUGACACCCUUACGGCACCCCGAGCCAGUUCAAAUAUUGUUGGUUCGAUCUGGGUCAAUGACGACCUGACUGGUUUGGUUUAACCAUCAGUUGGACCGUCGACCCGGUUUUACAUACAGGGCUCGGUUCGACUAGUUUUUGGGUCAUGGUUUUAGUUUUGGGCUAUCCAGCCUAAUUUACGACCUCAAGUCCAAUUUUCAAGUUCAAUUACUCAUUGGGCCAAUUGUUUGACUUGAAAAUUAAUUCCCAGAAAUAUCUUAUUAAUUUUAAUUGAUUUUGUUAAUUUAAUUUUACUCGAUAAAAAUUAAUUUUUCCAAAAAUCACUUAGAUUUUCCAAAUUAACUUUUCAAAAAUAUAAUCAAAUUCUCUAGUUGAACAAUUCUUACGAUCACUUAAUUUAAUUCCACAUCAAAUAAAUUGACUCAAUUAAAUUAUUCCCAAAGUUGUAGAAUUUUCUUCUAAUUUAAAUGCAGUCCGAUCAAGCUUUUGUUGAGCUAGCAGAGGGACCAAUCAGACAUAAACAAUUAGACUCUAUUGAUUGCAAUUAUUUCCAGAAGCAUUAUUUUGAUAAUUCGCAAUUACUUAAUCAUGGAGUUAGUCCACAAGAAGUACCAUGAUUGAAAAAUCCUUAUUGUAUACUCUUUACGAAAGCAAUUCAUCUAAUUGCUUUGUCCAAUGGCCUCGUCAUGUGUGUGUUACUCUCAUAUGAUAUCUUGGAUCCCUUUGAGUUAAAUCCAUCCACUCAAUACAAUCAUAUUUUAUCUCAUUGUCACCAUUGUGUUUUCUUAAUGAUUAAUAUGAUCACUGUCAAUAAAUGACUAUGGUAAAUUGCUCAUUCAAGAACAAGCAACCUGUGGUCACGUUCCAUAUUUAUCAAUCCACACAAUGCCAAUGAGAGGAUAUAAUUAACUCUUUAAUUGAGCUAUGAAUUUCAUUAUUGCUAGUAAAGCCAUGCUAUACACAAGUCAUGUACUCAACAUACUGGCUAUGGGCUCGAUCAUCUUUAGAGCAUAAGCCUCCACUUAUAUCAAAGCAAAUGAGUUGCAUACGCAUGGUCAGUAACUACUCAAGAUUUAGGUAAAUCACACCAUGAACGUCACAAGUGAAUUAAUUCACAAACGGAUUCAAAAUUAAUUCAUCUUGGGUCCAGUCCAAUGUAUCAUUCUACUAAUGAAUACAUUUAUUUCUCUACUCGUGGAGUCAACUGCUCCGAUAGUCAAGACUAGCCAUCUCCUCAAUUGGAAUUAUAGACGACAUAAUAAUCCUUCUUAGUAUUUGAAUCAAAUUCUCACUUUGAUUCUUUUACGAGAUUAUGGACUCAUUUAGAUUAUCUACUGAAGUAAGUUGUCUUUUUCGCAAUGUAAACGUUCUUACAAUGCCACUUAUCUUCAGUUUGAACUUUAGAUAAUCAAUGAGCUAAUAUUUGCUCGUCAUAAUUUCGCUAUGCACUUAAAAUAUAAAAGAGAGAAAAUACAAAAAAUAUAAUAGUGAAAUGUGAAAUUAAAUUUAUUUGUUUAUUCAUCGUUCAAUUAAAUAGAAAAUAAUUACAUGUUUACUACAAUAUGAGCACAUUUCCCAACAAAAAUAUCACACCAAAAAUGUAAUAAAUUAAAUUAGCGAUGCCCACAAGUAUACAGGUCAAAUUGUAAUAUAGUAUAUGUGUACAACGGAACACAAGAAGUAUUCUGAGGAUCGUACCCAAGGGAGGAUGGAAUAAAUCUAUUGAAAACCUCUUUACAAUAAUCAGUCUAAAUAGUAGUAAUUAAAUCUUAUAUUACGAUAGAUCAUAAAAUUGAUGAAUAAUGGAAAUUAAAUAACUAAAAUUAAUAAACAAGAAAAUAGACGAAUGACUAAAUCGACAAAACCAGUUAAGAACAUUAAUUCAUUCCAGGUGUUGUCCAAGCCAGAUAAGUUUUUUUUCUUUUGAUGAUCAUGCAUUUCAUUUCAUUUUACCGUGACGUUUGUCUGUCCAUAGCUAUAUUUGUGUUGCAUGCACAUGCAUUGAGGACAAUGCAUCCCUUGGGUUUGGGGGUGUAUUGUGCAUUCUGGUUGCACUUUAUAUAAUAUAGAUGUUUUGCCACUACAUUUUAACCACUGAAGUAUUAUUUUUUCUAUAAGAAGGACAAUGUAUACUUAUGAUGUUCGAUGAUGAGUUUACAUUUUUCGAUAUACCUAGAACAUGUGACAGUCGAUUGGGUGAAUUUAGCUUAGGUUAAGAUGCUUGAAAUUAAAGAUCAAGAUCCAGUAUUUAAUCCUGGAAAAGAAAAAAUUUUCGAAUUGUCCCUGAUAUUGUCAUCUUUGUUGUUUAGCCAUGGUAAGUUUAUAUGGUUUAAUUUAGUAUAAUUUAUAAUACUAUAUCGACUUGCGAUUUAUGAUUUGUUGAAUAUAUAUAAUUAAACUGUCUCAAAUUGAUUCAAAGUGAGAAAUGUAAUCGAACUGUAAAGUAUUAUGUGAUUUUGUGUAUCGAGCCCGAAUAAACAUAGGAUAGGAUAUAAUUGGCAUGCCAAUAGGUUAUUUUGCAUGCUGUAUGGGAUUGACUUGUGAUAAGUGUAACACCUUAUACUCGGUCCGAGCUAUAAGAUAUUACAACUAUAUAACAUCAUUCACAAUUUAAUAAAAAAUAACCAAAUAAUUAAUUUAUAAUCAUUUCCAAGAAAGGCUAGUGUGUGCCAGGGUACAUGGCGAGGCAAAUAUAUGAGUUAAAAGUAAGUAUAGAGAGUCCACUAAAGUAAGGAAGAUCUGGGUGAAUUCUAAGUUAAGUAUUGGGCGUAGCCUACCCUGCUCGAAGAAAGUGAUAAGACUAGUAAGUAUGGAAAAAGAUAUUAAAUUUGAUAAUAAGGUAAGAUUUAAGAAAGAAUAUAGAAAGUAAAAAUAUGUUAAGUAUAGUAUGCUCAAAAGAGAGAAAAUGGUUUUUAAGAAAGAAAUAUGGUAGCCUCAGUAUUGUACCCGCCAAAGAAGGAAGAAAUGUCAAGAAGUACCCAAAAGAUGUGCAUAAUAACAUACGCAACAUUGAAUGAAUGAAAAAGGUAUUCUAAGGUUUAGCUCAUUAAGUUCUUAUGAAUUUACAAAAUUUGUUUCUAUUUUCAUGUUUGUAAAGGAAUAUCCGUCGAGAGACGAUACCAAGGUUACGCCAAGGGAGCGGCAUGUUGGGCUGUUAUGCAUGUAAAGGAAAGCAAAUUGUGUCUUUGAGUCUGCACAUAAGUUUAUUAACUAGCAAUCAAAUAUGUACUUAGCAGCAUAAGAGAUAGAAUAGAAGUUGAUAGAAUUUUAUUAUUCUGAAAUGUAAAUGAAAUCAUACAAUGUACGCCAUAAGAGGCUCUAUUACACUCAUAGAUAGAUGUUUACAUCAAUGAAUAAGAAAGAAGAGUUUUAAGUUACAUCUGUAUAAGGCGUAACAACCAAAAUUUGGAUCUGAUAGAUUGAGUCAGGUCGAGACCAUUACAUUUCUAGACAAUCAACCCAAAUAGGACAGAUGCUUACGUUGGUUGUUACAAACUUGGUUCAGAACAGAGACUUCGCAACAAAAUAUUUGAUAAGAGAAUUUUCAUGGAAUAAGGGUUGUAUUCAUAGACAAUAAGUAUCUUAGUACUUAACUUAGGAACCCUAGUUGGUUUAGAAGAAGGUUACGUGCACGAAAAGUAUCCUAGACACAAUAUCUUUAUUUCUUAAUUUAAGUCUGACUAGACUUUUGACUAGCGAACCCCCAGUUUGCAAUUCAACUGGCAAACCCCAAUUCGCCUACCAACUUAACUUACAAUGAAUCUAGCGAACCCCUUACCACAUCUUUUGGGAUAUACCAGUUCAUCAAAACGAUGGAAAACUUCUUACUAAUCCUUCUGACAAAAAGUAGCUCACCAAAACACUAGAGAACCCCUUACUAAUAUCCCUUUUGGUGAACCCCAAUUAGCCAAAACCCUGGCAAACCCUUACUUGUAACACCAAAAAUUUCAAUCUCGAUCUCAGGGUGUUACAAGGACAACCCCUUAGCAAGCUUAGUUUCAUGAGAGGAGAUGUAACACCAUUAACCCGUAUCUGUCGUCGGAACAUGGUUAUGGAGCAUUACCAAAAUUUAUAGAUUAGAUAAACAAAUAAUUUAUGCCUUAUAGCAUUCAUAUUAGAAAUCAAUCAUAAUGUCCCUUAUAUGAUCCCUCAAGGCCCAAAAUAUACAUUAGAAUCAAGUCAGGACAAAACUAGGUACUCAGAGAAUUUUUCGCAAAAUCUCAAAAUUUUUCUCAACCCAUGUAACUCUCUGACUUGGGUCACACAGCCAAGUCACACGCCCGUGUGCCAGGCCGUGUGAAAAUACCUAGGCAUUCUGUUUUGAAAUUUUAAAGAUGCAGAGGACACACAGCCAGGUCACACGCCUAUGUGCUAGGCCGUAUGUCAAACACGGAUAAGACACACACCCAUGUCUUUGCCCGUGUGAACUAAAAUAGGCUAUUUUCCAAGCCACAUUUCUCACCCAACUUGUCUUUCACCUACACCAACACUUAAACACAUUUACAAACCAUAUCAAAGUAUUUAAAACAAGUCCAAAUCAUGUCUUAAACAUGACAUAAUAUCACAUACAACCAAUAUACCCUUAGGUACCUCAUAUGACAAUUUAUUAUCAUGUUAAUCUAUCAUUUAUACUUACUUAUUUACCAAAUGCAUAUAUGUAUGAUCACAUUUAUUCUUCAAGCAUGAUAGAUCCACUUAUAAAUAUGUCAAAAUAUUUCAAACACAAGUCAUUCUAAUGGCUAGUUUCAUUCAAAACAUUUACAUAUCAAUAUUAGCCAAUUAACCUAUACAUGUCAUUAUAACCAUCAUUAAUUUAUCAUAUAUACCGAAAUAGGCCAAUGGAUAGUGUGAGUGAUCUCUGCCAAGCUUCUAAUCUAACGAGUUUUCGAAUUACUAUAGAAUAGGGGAAAAUAAAAACAAAGUAAGCAUGAAAUGCUUAGUAAGUUCGUACAACAUGGUAAUUAACUUACCAUUUAUUUAUGUUCAAGAUAAACAUGCAAGACACAGUCAACCAAUUUGCUCAUAAGCCCUAACACAUAUCCUUAUCACCCUUACUAGUCAUAUAAUUCAUUCAAAUAUCAAGAAACAUGUACGGGCUCGACAAUAACUAAAUUUCCAUAUACAUAUACUUUCCACAUCAUGAAUUCAUAUAACAUAUACAAAUCAUAUCCAUGUAUUUAAUUCGUCUCAAGUUCAGAUUAUUUCAUAUCAGGAUUUUGCCCAUUAAAUCAAUUAAAAUAUCGAUGGAAACACGAAAAGUACAUUUGUACUCAAGAUGUACAAAUCUAUAAUCAUAGUUAAACAUAUUCAUCAAACAAAUUCCAUGUUCAUAUAUCAUCAUCUCAUACUUACAUAUAUCAUGUAUCAUCAUUUUCAUGUAUUUCGGCAGAUACGUGUAAUAAUUCAUUUCGAUCUCAUAUUUUCUCGUGUAAGGAUUUUACCCGUUGAAUUUAUUUGAAAUAUCGAUGGAUACACAUAUAGUUCACUCGAGGUGUACAAUUUAUAGUCCAUCAAUUCAUAUUCGGGGAUGCUAAUUAAAGUACAUGAUCAGGAAAUCCUCUCUCGAGCCAUAUAACAGGAAACUCGUAAAGAGCCAUUAAUCAAGAAGCUUAUAUGGGCUAUAUAACGGGAAGCUCAUAAGAGCCUAAAUCAGGAAGUUCACAAAGAGCCUUUAACGGGAAGCUCCGAAGAGCCAUUAAUCAGAGUUCCAGAUAGCCAUAUAUCGGGAAGUUCAAGCGAGCCAUAUAUUAGGAAGUUCAAGCGAGCCAAAUCGAGAAGCUCUAGAUAGCCAUAUAACAGGACGCUCACACAGAGCUGCGGUAUGUCCACAACACAUGCAGGACCACUACUGAUCAUAUAAUAGAACGCUCACAAAGAGCUGCGGUAUGUCAUCAAACAAAUAGUGUCGUCAUAUUUUCAGUACAAAUGCAAUAACCGUCAAUUCUAAAUCAUGUAUCGAGUAAUUCUUUUCAUGUGUUUUUUAACUAUCUGGAAGCAUAGGCUAUUACUUUGCCUUCCUACUUCAAAAACACAGCCUAAACCAUUCAAUGAUGCAUCCUUGUAAAUUAUAAAUUCCUUACCCAAUUCAGGCUGAACUAGAACUAAUGCUUUGGUCCACAGAGUUUCAAACCGAUCAAAACUUUGUUGACAUUUAUCAAAAUAUUCAAAUCUUACUUCUUUCUAUAAUAAUCGUGUCAUCGGUAUAGCUAUCAUAGAAAACCCUUUCACGAAAAUUAAAAAGGGAUCAUAAAUUAAGCUAUUUCAAUUAUUAACAUUGAAGCUUUUAAUUAUUCCAAAGCCACAACUAUCAGAUAGAUUAAAACCAUAGUGCUAUAAUUGGACCGACAUUUCAACAAUAUAGAUGGAACAAUACCUCAACAUCAAUAGUACUCUUUAAAAUAGAAGAGGAAAACCGAAAGUAGUCCCAAUAACAACCAAUGCCAUAAUACAAUUUCUAUAAUUUGAGAUCCAUAUCACCGAGCUCCUAUGAUCGAGUUAAGAUUUAUAACAAUAAUAAAUGUAAUUAACUCCGGCCAAUGAAUAUCUUUCACAGAUAAACCAUGUUUAAUAUAUAAGAUUAGACCAUAAAAAUGACAAGAAAAUCGAGAUAAUGAAAUCCAAAAUGUGAAGUUAUACUGAAUUUUCGAGAAUAAAAACACAUUGAAUGAUAAAGAGAUUGAUGAUAUCUCAGAGAAAGUCCAGAAGAGUAAUAUCGCACAUACGCAGUAGAAACAGCUGUGAUAGAGACAAUAUAAAUUGCAUAUUUGCAAUUUAGAGCUUUAACCAGUAGAAGUAGAAAAUAGUAUCAUAUGAAUCUUAUCAUCAAGUUUUCUAUCAAACGUAAUUGAUUAGAAAACCAAAGAAAGAUGGAGCAAUAUCGCUCAUGAAUCAAACAGACUUACAAUAAUUCCUUCUAAUAUUAUAAUUAGCUAACCUUUCUAUAUGAUAAGAAUCACAUUUGAAAAUGAACAGUUACAUAUAUCUCUGAGCAUCAAAGAAUAUAUAGAAUACCCAGAGGAGAUCACUGUAAAAUACCCGAUUAUAACAACUGCAUUCAAAUAUCUUUGCAAUUUCAUCACUAUUCCAUUGACUACUAAAGUCAUCAAUAAUCUCACAUUAUUUAGUUCACUAAAGAAUCUAAUUCAGAAGAAAUUUCUGGUUAAUCCAUUUUAUAGAUACCAUAUAUGAAUAAGUCAAUUACUCAUGAAUAACUUAUUCCUUAAUAGUGUCAUUGCGUAUCCCGAAUAAAUCUUCAAAAUAAUCUUAUAUCUCUUUUAAAACUAUCUUUACUUACUAACCCAUUCUCUGCUUUGUUAAUCAUUCAACCACUGAACUCUUCAGUUUCGUACUUGUGAACUUAAUCAAUACAAAUCUUGUGCAUUUCAUUGUAUAAGACUAUACUAGUGAGGGGGUGGAGGUCGUAAAGCCUCAAAAUUUAACUUUCAUAUGUACACGCUAACAAAAGCCGUAAGCGUGUUGUGUUUGAACUGGGAGAUUGGGUUUGGGUGCACAUGCGCAAGGAAAGAUUUCUUGCGCAAAGACGAUCUAAACUCCUUUCGAGAGGAGAUGGACCAUUCCAAGUCCUUGAACGAAUUAACGAUAAUUCUUAUAAAUUGGACUUGUCAGGUGAAUAUAAUGUUAGUGCGAGCUUUAAUAUUUUCAAUUUGUCUCCGUUUGAUGCAGAAAGCGAUUUGAGGACAAAUCGUUCUGAAGAUGAGGGGAAUGAUGUGAGCUUACUUACGAACCAAGAGGAGCUCGAACAAGAGGCCAUAAAGUUGCCAAUUGGUCCGAUAACGCGAGCUCGAGCCAAGCAAUUUAAGGGGGCUAUUUUAGCAAUGUUGGAACGAGCAUGGGAAAGUGAACGCAAGGAGCUCAAAAAUGAAUUCAACAUGUUCAAUUUUUAGGAAGCUGAAUUUCGUUCCAGCUAAUAAAUUUGCUGCUGGAAUUUUUAGACCAUUUAAAUUAAAGCAUCUAAAUAAGUUUUUACUACAGCUUAUAAAUUUGUCUUUAAUUAAUAUAAGUGUUUAAUUUGUCUUAUUUUAGUUAAAUUAAAUAUGUCUUGAUUUCAUUUAGUUUGUCUAAAUUAAUACAUGUAUUAAAUCUGUCCAGCCGAAUUUAUGUGUCAUGUUUUAUUAAUAUUUAAGUUGUCACAAUGUUAAUAAGGAUGUUCACAUUAUGUUUUUAAUGUAGUUCAGCUGAAUUUGUUUGAAUUAAUUAAGUUCAUUUGUUUUAAUUCAGGUGCAGCCGAAUUUGGAGAUUCAUUGACUAGAUGCAUGCAUGUAGAUUCAAUGAAUUUGAAGAUGCAUGUGCAACUGGUAUAAUGCAUUGAAGCUGAUUAAUUUUGGCUCUUUUCAAGGAAACUAUUCGGCCAAGAGUCAGCAGCCAAUUCAACACUCCAAGACAUGGCUGAUUCUCUUUUCAAUGAGGCAUAAAGAUGUUCACACCAUGUUCAGCCAUGUUCACACCAUAUGGCUCUUCAAAACCGUCCAUUCACACUUCCAAAUGGUUGUUCAAGUUGCUAUUUAAUGUUGGUAAUUUUUCAGCAAGAGUUGUUUCAUGAAUUACCUCAUUAAACUCCAUUAGCUGAAUGUAGCUGCUGCUAAUUUCCAAAGUUCAUUGGAAGCUAUUCUUUGGUCUCUAUUAAGCCGAACCUUGAUACAAGCUCAUGCAUGAAUUUUAGCUAAAGAUUAGUUCAAUGUUUUGCUUAGCUUUUUAAGCUUUGAAUUGUCCAUUCGGUUACCAGCACUUAAGCUAUAAAUAGUUGCUGAUUUUCUUGUAAAAGGAUUUUUUUGGCCAAAUUUUUGAAUGAACUAUAUUUUUGGUGAUUUAAUUCACUCUUCUUAUUCUCCAAAGCUCAAUUGACUUAUCUUCACAAGUGACGUCAAUCUGACUUUGUUUUUGAACUUAUCACCCGUUGGUGUGGCCUUCUUCAUACCGAAGGUUCCUAUUUCACUAAAUAGUGGGUCUCGGUUUUAUCCUUAAUUCUUUCUUUUCUUUGAAAUGAUUUAAGCCCGGGUCUUUAUUUGCUAAUAAGGGUUCAUUCUUGUUUCAUUGGAAACCAGCAAAUAUCAUAUCGUUAAACACCUUUGUUUCCUAAGUCAUUCCACCUUCAAAACUCAAAGACUGAAUUUGUAUUAAACCGACACUACCUAAUUUCGAUCGAAAAUUAUUAUAACUCAUUACAUCUUCCGAAACGAGCUCGUAUCAACAUUUAUCGUCAACUUAUUCAUUACAAACUUUUAUUCAUACCUCUAUGAAUUCCGUUUCAUCAUAAGCAACAUAUUUACUCAAACACUUGGGUAUCACUUUCAACAUUAUCGGAAUUAGCUCGGUUGGAAGCAUCUCUAUCUAUUAGUAAAACAAUUCUCAUCAGAGUCGGGAGAUAUCACACUAUCACAAGUUAUACAAUGGCAUGUAUUUCUAUACUUCACAUAUACUACGUUCAGUUUGAGAACUGACUAAAUCGUAGCUCUGAUACCAAUAAAUGUAAUAUCCCUAACCCGUAUCUGUCGUUAAAUAGGGUUACGGAGCAUUACCAAAAUUUACAGAUCAGAUAAACAGAUAAUUCAUGCCUUAUAGCAUUCAUAUUAGAAAUCAAUCAUAAUGUCCCUUAUAUGAGCCCUAGAGGCCAAAAAUAUAAAUUAGAAUCAGGUCGAGACUAUACUGGGUACUCAGAGAAUUUUUCACGAAAUCUUAAAAUUUUUCCUAGGUGCAAGGGUCAUAUGCCCGUGUGGUCAAGUCGUGUGAAGGGACAUGUCCGUGUCUCAAGCCGUGUAACUCUCUGACUUGGGUCACACGACCAAGUCACACGCCCGUGUGCUAGGCCGUGUGAAAAUACCUAGGCAUUCUGUUUUGAAAUUUUAAAGAUGCAGGGGGCACACGGCCAGAUCACACGCCUAUGUGCUAGGCCGUGUGUCACACACGGAUAAGACACACACCCGUGUCUUUGCCCGUGUGAACGAAAAUAGGCUAUUUUCCAAGCCACAUUUUUCACCCAACUUGUCUUCCACUUACACCAACACUUAAAAACAUUCACAAACCAUAUCAAAGUAUUUAAAACAAGUCCAAAUCAUGUCUAAAACAUGACAUAAUAUCACAUACAACCAAUAUACCCUUAGGUACCUCAUAUGACAAUUUAUUAUCAUGUUAAUCUAUCAUUCAUACUUACCUAUUUACCAAAUGCAUAUAUGUAUGAUCACAUUUAUUAUUCAAACAUGAAAUAUCCACUUAUAAAUAUAUCAAAAUAUUUUAAACACAAGUCAUUCUAAUGGCUAGUUUCAUUCAAAACAUUUACAUAUCAAUAUUAGCCAAUUAACCUAUACAUGCCAUUAUAACCAUAAUUGAUUUACCAUAUAUACCGAAAUGGGCCGAUGGAUAGUGUGAGUGAUCUCCGCCAAGCUUCUAAACUAAUGAGCUUCUGAAUUACUAUAGGAUAGGGGAAAAUAAAAACAAAGUAAGCUUGAAAUGCUUAGUAAGUUCGUAUAACAUGGUAAUUAAUUUACCAUUUAUUUAUGUUUAAGAUAAACAUGCAAGACACAAUCAACCAAUUUGGUCAUAAGCCCUAACACAUAUCCUCAUCACCCUUGUUAGUCAUAUAAUUUAUUCAAAUAUCAAGAAACAUGUAUGGGCUCAACAAUAACUAAAUUUCCAUAUACAUAUACUUUUCACAUCUUGAAUUCAUUUAACAUAUACAAAUCAUAUCCAUGUAUUUCAAGUGCAUUUUCAUAAUAAUUCGUCUCAAGUUCAAAUUAUUUCAUAUAAGGAUUUUUCCCAUUAAAUCAAUUAAAAUAUCGAUGGAAACACGAAAAGUACAUUUGUACUCGAGAUGUACAAAUCUAUAAUCAUAGUUAAACAUAUUCAUCAAACAAAUUCCAUGUUCAUAUAUCAUCAUCUCAUACUUCCAUAUAUCAUGUAUCAUCAUUUUCAUGUAUUUCGGUAUAUACGUAUAAUAAUUCAAUUCGGUCUCAUAUUUUCUCAUGUAAGGAUUUUACCCGUUGAAUUUAUUCGAAAUAUCGAUGGAUACACAUGUAGUUCACUCGAGGUGUACAAUUUAUAAUUCAUCAAUUCAUAUUCGGGGAUGCUAAUUAAAGCACAUGAUCAGGAAAUCCUCUCUCGAGCCAUAUAAUAGGAAACUCACAAAGAGUCAUUAAUCAAGAAGCUUAUCCGGGCUAUAUAACGGGAAGCUCAUAACAGCCUAAAUUAGGAAGUUCACAAAGAGCCUUUAACGGGAAGCUCCGAAGAGCCAUUAAUCAGAAGUUCCAGAUAGCCAUAUAUCGGGAAGUUCAAGCGAGCCAUAUAUUGGGAAGUUCAAGCGAGCCAUAUCAAGAAGCUCUAGAGAGUCAUAUGACAGGACGCUUACACAGAGCUAUGGUAUGUCCACAACACAUGCAGGAUCACUAUCGAUUAUAUAACAGGACGCUCACAAAGAGCUGCGGUAUGUCCGUAACAUAUGCCUGAUCAAUACCGAUCAAAAUGCUCGCAAGAACCAUGUAAUGAGAGGAUCGAGAGGGCUUAUAAUGGGAUGCUCGUAAGAGCUAUGGUGUGUCCACAACAUAUGCAGGACCACAACCAAUACGAGAAUCCUGUAUCCAUCGAAUUUCAUUUAUUCAAACGAGACUUAAUACUUUUCAGGCAUUACCGGAUAUGUGACCGAUCUUCAUACAUGUCAAUUUUACAACAUACAUACAUAAAAUUCAAUUUAAACAUACAAAUAUACACAAUUUAGUUGCACGAACUUACCUUAACAAAUAUUUGUGUAUGUAAAAUCUACUAAUCUGACACUUUCUCUUUUCCUCGUUCUAACUCCGAAUUAGGUCUAUCCGAAUCUAAUCAAGCAAAAUAAGUUGACUUGAGCUUAGGUUUCCAUGGCUAAGGUUUCCGUACUUUUAAUUUGGGAAAGAUGAUAAAAAUGAUUAUAUUUUCAUUAUUUUAUCAUUUAUCAUCUUUUAUUAUUUUACUUUCCAAUUUAGUCCUUUUCUUUAUUUUAUUUUCCAUGGAUGAAUCAUCAUCCUUAAUCACUAAGAAUUUUUAAUGGUCUAUUUACCAUAUAAGGACCUCCAAUUUAAAGUUCUAUAGCUAUUUAAUCUCUUUAGCUUUUAGAACUCAACUUUUACACUUUGUGCAAUUUGGUCUUUUAUCAAAUUAAACAUGUAAUCAGUAAAAUUUAUUUACGAAAUUUUCAUAUGACAUUAUUAUCGUACUGUAGACCAUAAAAUAAUAUAUAAAAAAUUUCUUUUUGAACUUAGAUUUGUGGUUCUGAAACCACUUUUUUUAUUUUACCGAAAACGGGUUGUUACAAGAGAACUAUGUUUAUAUUAGAGAAGAGAGAAAAUAGAAAUUAGACUUCGAUAUAAGAGACCAAGGUAAGGAUGAUAAGGUUUCUUUAUUAAUUUCAUGCUUAUCUCAUUCAAUGUGUACAAAAAUAAUAUUUGAUUAUUAUAUUAAUACUGAAUAUGUAUAUUUUUAUAUAAGAAGAGGGGUGAAUCUCAAGUUGGUGAAAAAGGGAAUGAGAUGGCUAAGGAGUGAAAGAAAUAAGAAUGAAGUUUAUUCAAACUUUAUUUUGUAAGUACAUCAAGAAUUGUUACUUAACUAAUAAAUAAGUGUAAAACUAUGUUAGAUUAGUUAUAUUAAUAUUUAUAUAUGAAUAUGUUAAUAUUUAAUAUGAAAUUGAUUAGUGAGUGUGUUUAUAUCAAUUUAAUUUCAAUUACAAAGUGAUAGAUGUAGUUUAUUAAAAGUAUGGAAAAAAGGACUAAUUUGUAAAAUGUGUAAAAUUAACAUGUAAAUUAAAUAUUAUGUUUGAGUGUAUAAAUUAAGUGAUAUAUGGAAGUGAAUUACAUAUAAAGUGAUAUUGAAGUCUUAUAAAAGGGGUUAUUGAAUUUCAUGAUGAUGGGGACUAGACUGUAAAGAACGUAAAAGUUUAUAAGUGAUUAAUUGAAAUGUAAAAGUGAAUCUAAUAAUGUUAUAAUUUCCAAAGUAGACAAGAUGUGAACUAGUAGGAGAUAGAUGGCAUGCCAUUAGUAAACUUUCAGUGCAUAGUGAAAGUGGCACUCUGGUGCAACUCAGUGAUUAUGCACUUCUGUGCAAAGUGAUAGUGGCUCUUUGGAGCAUUUCAAUGAUUCAACACUUCUUUGCAUUAUCGUGUAAGAAAUUUAGUGCUAAUAAUUUAUUGAUUUUUCACAUAUCUUGCAUGUUCUAUUGAGUCUACUAUGGGCUGGCAUAAAGUGGUAAGUGAAAAUAAAAGUGAAAUGGGAAAUGAAUUAACAGUGAAAAAGUAAAUGGUUUUUAAUGGAAUUAUUUGAAAACUUUAGUGUUAAAUGUUUUUUUAUAUCAAAUUUUUAUUUAAAUGUUCUAUAUUGAUUAAUGCAAAGGUAAAUUUAAUUCUUGAAGAACUUACUAAGCUUUCACAAGCUUAACACAUUAUUUAUCAAUACGUAGGUAAAUAUUCGACUUGAAGCUUUAAAGUGAAAUUAGAACCUCAACUCGUCUCAUCACAUAUCAAGGCUUGGAAGAGUAUGGAUUCAAUCCUUUGGUAUUAGUUUAUGGCAUGUACAUAAGUUUAAUUAAAGUAUAUGUUUAAGAUUUCUAGUGAAAAUACUUGGUGAAUCUUAAGUACUUUGUUAGCUCUAUGAACUUAGUUGAGACUUGUUUGAAGUAUAUGUUGUAUUAAAUGAUGUUUUGAUGGUGUUCUAUGCUUUAAAUUGGUUAAUUGAUGUAUGAGAAUGAAUAAAAUUGAUUGUGGCAUAAGAGUGUUUGGGCAAGUAUAAGGCUCCCUUACACUUAGGGUGCAAUACCCUAGUGACAAGUAUUGGUACCUAAGAGUUAGAAUGAUAAAAUCUACAAUGUUUUAGCCUAGGUAUUGAUACCUAGCACAGAGGUACCAAUACCUCUACUUCAAACCACUCAGUUUGAUUAGUUUUUCUCCGGAAAGGCUUUAAAUGUACUUCGUUUGCAACCAAACUUUGAAGAUAGGUUAGAAAUGACUAGAACCACUCCAAACGAGCUUAAUUUGGUUAAAAUGAAUGGAAUUAGAUGAUGUUCAAGUUUAGUGUUUGUAGUGCCCAAAUGUGACAUUUGUUGCUAGGGUUGUCGGGUUAUCCCAGGUAAUGGGUAUUACAAAUUGUUGGAAAAAUCAAUUUGGAAAACUUGUUUUCACAACAUAAUUUUAAUUUUUUUUCUAAAACCUGAGCCAUUUUGUGUUAUUUAUAGAAAUGAACUUUACCAAAUUAGUACAUAUGUUUUUCACUCAACGGAACUUAUCGAUUCUUGACUUCCAACAAACACGAUCUUUUUCGCUAUUCUCGCACCCUCAGUUUGCUUAAAGAGUGGGCUCUAAUUCAAGAACCGAUCACACAAUGACUACAUUUAGAGUGGUGUGUUGUUUACUUAUCCCAUAGUCCAUUUUUAUAAGGAAAAUCCACAAAAGUUCUAUUUGAAUAAGAGGAGACAAAAAUAAUACAAUUUUAAUAAAAAAAACACGAACUCCCAUUUAGACAUCACAUGGUGAGUGGCACACACAUGAUGAAUAUUCCAAUAUGCUACCCACCAUAAUACAAGUGGGCUUUAUUAGGUUUUUCUUGUAUUUGGUACAACUAUAUAUUUGUUAUAUAGUCUUUAAAACAACUUAUAUAAUUUAUCCAACUCAAUACUAGUUUUAUGCUCUCAAAAUAUUAUUUAUUUAAUCAAUUAAAACAAAUUUAAUUAUUUCUCUCAAUUAAAUUAUUGGAUAAACUAUACCCACCGUCACUAAACUAUUAGUACAUUUACGUUUUGGUCACUCAACUUUAAAAAGCUAUAGAAUGGUGGCUGAACUAUUUAGAAGUUCUCAUUUAAGUAAUUGGGUUGUUAAAAUUACUACCGUAUGGCUUUUUUUGUUUGCCCCAUCUGCACCAAUCGAAAGCUUUCCUUCCCAUUCCCUUCUACGAUUAAGUUUUUUUUUCUCAUGAAACAACUUUGAACACUACAAAUCUACGAACCAAAAUCCAAACAAUCUUCUUUUCUAAUCUCCGACAAUGACUAUUAGAUCGACUUGGAUCUAAGAUAUGUUAUUAUACUUGUCGAUGGGUACUAAUCCACAUAUCGUUCAUCGAAACAUUGCUUGAAGCUUGUUAGCCAAACUUUUUUUUAAAUAACUUAAUAGCCUAGUGACUUAAAAAAACUUUUAAAUAGUUUAAUAACUUAAAUGAAAACUUUAAAAUAAUUUAGUGAUCAUUCUAAAAUUUUUUAAAGUUUAAUGACCAAAACAUAAAUUUACUAACAAUUUAAUAAUAUUAAUGUAAUUUAACCAAUUUUAUUUAAAAUGAUGAUAUAAUAUACAAUUUCAACUUUUCAUUGGGUGGUAAAAGCUAACAAAUCCAUAAUCAAACAUACCUAAGUAAAUCAAUGUUUUAUUUUAUUGGGGAAGUUUUAAAAUUACAAUAUUUAUACCAAACAUGCUAUAAACUUUGCACAGCAUCAACAAAGAAACCCUAAAAGCAGAAGAGUUCCUAGUAGUGAAGUCUUCUAGAUCCUUCCUAAAAUAUAAUAUUUUAUAUAUCUAUCCCACAUUCUGGAUUCUUCUACCUCCCCGCCCCGAACCCUCCAGAGCGGCCCCUCCCACCCAGUUGCUUCUUUUAAGCUCUCCCUUCCAUUAUUAUCCUCACAUCUCUCUCAAUCCCUAAUACACCCUCGUCUUGAUUUUUUCAUCAAUGGCCAAGUACGGCGAAGGCGACAAGCGCUGGAUCGUGGAGGAAAGACCCGACGGUGCUAACGUCCACAACUGGCACUGGGCUGAAACCGAUUGCCUCCCCUGGUCGAAAAUGUUCUUCACCAAAUCGCUUUCGGAUCUCACCAUCCUUGACGGCCAAGGCAAUCUCCGCAUCAAGACCAAGAAGAUCGAAAAGGUC
This 71931-nucleotide long non-coding RNA is filed under the name Gossypium barbadense (sea-island cotton). RNAcentral describes it as "long non-coding RNA (GBAR_LNC015495)". The record is from RNAcentral. Lineage: Eukaryota; Viridiplantae; Streptophyta; Magnoliopsida; Malvales; Malvaceae.